This 55622-nucleotide long non-coding RNA is filed under the name Populus trichocarpa (black cottonwood). RNAcentral's name for it is "long non-coding RNA (PTRI_LNC002434)". The record is from RNAcentral. Lineage: Eukaryota; Viridiplantae; Streptophyta; Magnoliopsida; Malpighiales; Salicaceae.
AUUAACAGAGUUAGAGGGCAUUUGCAAAUUGCUCAAAACAAAAUGAUCAUCAAUGCAAACAAGAAGCGGAGCGACAAGAGUUUUGAAGUCAAGGACUAUGUUUACUUAAAGCUACAGCCAUACAGACAACAAUCUAUUUCACACAGAUCAUCAAAAAAAUUAGCUGCAAACUAUUAUGGCCUUUACCAGGUGAUCGCCAAAGUGGGAACUGUAGCCUAUAAGCUUGAUCUGCCAACCGCUUACAUGGUCCAUCCCGUGUUCCACGUUUCCCAGCUCAAGAAGCAUGUAGGAAACCAAAUCAUGCAGGGAUCCCUUCCAAUUAUCAAUCAUGGUCCUCCCUUGCAACCCAGAGCCAUACGGGAAAGACGUAUAACUAGGCGAAACAACCAUGCUGCUACUCAGGUGCUCAUACAUUGGGAAGGGUUGCCACCAACAAAUGCAACAUGGGAAUUCACUGAGGAUUUGAAGCUGAGGUUCCCAACAUUCAACCUUGAGGACAAGGUUGGGUUCGAGGGGGGCAAUUGUUAUCAACAAAGGAGGGAGAAGAAGAUUUAUGAUUUGAAUUCAAAUUAAUUACUUUCCAUUAUGCACCGUAUUACUUAAUUCCCUAAAACGCACCGUUUUACUUAGUUUGUUAUGGUGCCAAUAUUAAAAACACACCACACGCCUGUAGGUGUGGUAUCAUAGAGUUUCCAUUCAGUUAUAAAGAGUGUAACAGAAUGCAUGGAUUACACAUGCAAAAACAAUGAAAAACGAAUGACAUUCCUUGAAGUCAUGAAUUCUACCCUUCCCUCAUCCUCUAUGAAUUAUCCUUCAUAACCACCAUGGCUCAGCACUGAAGAAUACAACCCCAGUCUAUCCCCUCCCUCAGCCAGUCUUUUACCCCCUCUACUAGGCCCCAUACAGGUAGGCACCAUAAGUGUUUCACUCGUAACAAUGAGAGACAACAAGAAAAUCACCAUAAAGGUUGAGCUACUAACUAGAAGAAGAGACGAGAGAUGAUAAAGGUUGAGCUACUGCUUCUAGCUUUGAUUUAGGGUUAGAACACGAUGGGAAGACAUGAAAGACACAAAAAGCUUGAGUGUGGCUAUUUUGGGUUUGAUUUAGGAUUGGGAAGAAAUUUUAACAUUUAUACCUUUUUUUUUCAAAUUUAAAGUGCUGGUUGAACCAGUCUGAUUCAAUUGGUUUUGAACUUUUAAAACCAAAAUUAAAUUAGAUCGAAUUGUUUUUUAAGUUUUUUAAUUAGUUAAUUUGAUUUUUUUAUUUUUUUUCCUGGUUUAAUUGAUUUUUCAAGUUUUUUCCCACCCCUACUAAAUAGUAUCAUUUCCUACCAGAUUUUUGUUUUCUGAAAAAUUGAUUUAGUUUUUUUUUUUUUUUUUUAAGUUGAAUUUUCUUUUGUUUAGACAUGGGAGAAAGUUUUGAUAAAGGGUCAUUGGGUCAAAAAGUGUCUUGUAACGUGUAAGUACUUUACAUGCUAAUGACUCAGACAUGGAAACCGGAGAAAAAGAAAAGAAAACAGUAACACCAACUGUGGAAAGGUAUUAUAAUUGGAAAGAACUAGAUUAGACGUCUGUAUUAUGCCAUGGGUCACGUUAAUUUUUAUUUAAUAUAAAAAAUGAUAAUGUUUUUUUUUAAAUGGUAAAAAUUUAAAAUUAAAGUCAUUGGUUAAAUAGAUUUAAUAAGUUUGGUUAAUUUAAUAUUUUGAUUUUAUAAAAAAAAAACCAGUGACAAUAAAAAACAAUAAUGACUAAUCGAAAAAAAUACACGCUUGCUAAUAUUAUAAAAAUAUAUUUUAUAAAUAUUUUUAAAAUAUCUCAAAAAUCUUAUUUGAUAACAAAACAAAAAUUGAAUGAAAAUAAAAUAACCUUAUAAAGAGAAAAAUGAAAAUAAAAGCUUAAUCACUAGUAAAUCAAACACAAAAGGGAGAAUUGAAAAAAAAUUAAUUUUAAAAAAGAAUAAAAAAUUUUAACUAUAGUCUGCAAGUCAAACUUGCGACUUGCUUACAAGGGUGAGAUAACCUCAUACAAAAAAAACUUAAUAAAAAAAUGGAGGUGUUGCAUGUAAAUAAAAUAAUGAAAGGUAAAACUGAAAAGAAAAAUCAAUAAAAACAACAUUGAAAAAAAAAACUCAGGUAAGCUUGUGUUAACUCGAAUAAUUUGUAACCCGAGAUAUAAAAUCAAGAUAGUCUUUUAGAAAGGAAAGUAACAAAACUCAUGAAGCUGAAGACUCAAUAAUAAAACAUUAAAGGAUGAAAUUCUAAAAAAAAAAAUUAGUUUUUAAAAAGCAUCUUAAAAAAUAGACUGAAUGCAAACCAAGCUAAUCUUUAAAACCUAUAAUUCGAUUCAUGAGAUUGAGUUACCUCAUAGAAAAUAAACCUGAAAAAAUCAUGAAGCAAAAUUUUAAUUAUCAAAAAUUAAAAAAACAAAACAAAUAGUAAUUAAAGGAACGAAGAUUAAGUCUGAUAUAAAAUUAAAUGAAAUAAAAGAAUUAGAAAUGAAAUUGAAAAAUAAAAUAAAUCAAGAAAAUGAAAAAAAAUAAUAAUAAUAAAAAAUAAGGAUUAAAUAUAAUAAAAAAUUUAAAUUAAAUAAAUAAUUAAAAAAUAAAAAAAUAAAAAAGUGAAAAUAAAAAAAAUAACUAUCAAAUAUAUAUUAAUAUUAAAUGAAAUAAGUCAAAGAUCAUUUCCCCCCUAUUUUUCACUUCUUAGCUUGCCAUGUGGAGGGCAAAAUUGUUAUUAUAUUGUAACAAUUCAUAGUAAAAUGAUUCUUUGAUAGGAGAGGGACUCAAUCCAUCAAAUUAGUAGAGGAAGGGCUAAAUUCAACCAAAUUGAUAAAGUACAGGGACCACAGCCUCUAAUUAACCUGACCUAAAACUGGCAUGUCGUUUAUGCGUAUGGGGUGACAUAAACCAUGUAUCCUUGCAUAUAAAACAACGUUGACGUGUUCCUUCAUCUACCAGUUUAACUGGUAACUAGGUGCCCUUGUGCUUCAAUUUCCAUGCUGCCUGGCAACAGUACUGCUCAUCAAAACCACUUACAGAGACAACAACAUAUAUCUAAAUUCACACUUCCUACUUACUUGUUUAAUAGUUCUUUCACUCUAUCUCAAAGAAGUGUACUUUUCUUCUUCUUCUUGAUUUUAUUUUAUUUUUCUUGAUUUUAUUUUUAUUUUCUUAACAUAUUGUUUGAUUGAUUGCCAAUAUGAAGUGAGAAUGUUAGGAUCAGUUCAUUACCUCGAUUUCUUUCAGUUUCUCUUCUUUUUCUCUCAAUCAAGUUUGUAUUUUAUGAAUGCUUGGAUUCUAAAUUAUCUUAAUCUGUUUGCUUUGAAAUGGAGAGAAUUUGAAAAUUAGAGUCUUUUCUAGCCUCUGGUUAUCGAAUUUACAUAAUUUGAUGUCUAGAUACUCAUUGGAUUCUUCGAAUAAUGAAACCUUUUUUCAUUUCUCUUGCUUUUAUUGUUCUGUUUCGCAGGAUUUGAUGCUGUUUAUGUCGAUAACAAGUAGCUUCAUUGAGUUUCAGUAUCCAUGGCUGUAAAUUAGAAGUGGGUUAUUAAAGGAAUUGAAAAAUAAGGAUAACAUGAGUAGGACACGCAAGAGUAGUAAUUUAUGUGAUGAUAAAAUUGCUGGCAAGGGAUCCUCUACAAGUCAAGGACCCAAUGAGGUUUCUGAUUAUCUUGAUCAUGAGAUUGCUCAACUCACAAAGCUCAGGUCACGGCCUCAUGAACUUUUGAGCAGGGACGUGCCUGGCAGGUCGAGGCUGCCCGUCUCAACUAUGAGAAUGCUGGUUGGUCGAGAGGGUAAUUAUUCCGGAAGAGGGAGAUUCUCAUCUGCAGAUAGUCGUCAUGUUUUAAGUCGAUAUUUGCCUGUACAUGGUCCUUGCACGGUGGACCAAUUGAAUAGUCGGACUUAUGUUUCUCAGUUUUCAGAUGAUGGAACUCUUUUUGUUGCUGGAUGCCAGGUAACAUGGGGGGGCUAUCAAUAAAGUAAUUACUCUUGAGCAAGCAUUACGCUUCAUAAAGAUUUGGUGAUUCUUAAAUUAACGGGAGUGUCUGUAUUGUUGUUUUUUAAGUCAGUAUAUACGUUUCUUUUGCCACAGGGAAGCCACAUUAGGAUAUAUAAUGUGGACAAGGGAUGGAAAAUUCAGAAGGACAUUUUAGCCAAGAGUUUAAGAUGGACAAUUACCGAUACAUGUCUUUCGCCCAAUCAGCGCUACCUUGUAAGUUUCUGAUGACUCUAGUUGAAAAAAAAGUGGAUAUAUUACUGAGAUAGAAAGUCAAUUAUUAUAGUAUAGUUCAGUGCAUUGAUGCAACUUCUCUGGGCUUAGUGGAGGACUUCUUCUUUGGUGGAUCACAUCUUUUAAAUACCAAACAUAAAUUUUCUUCAGGGUCUGUCUUUAUUUCCUGUUUUAAUUGUUGUAGCUCUCAUCUUGUUCAACAUACAGGUUGGUGGAUUAUCCGCCUGCCCAUUUCUUGAUUGUUCACAUGUGCUUCUGUUGUGCUUGUGUGUGUCUGUGAGAAUGUAUGGUCAUCUCUCUAUGCAUUUUCUUAUUCAGUCUCUUUGUGUGCUGGAUUGUGUGGAUGCCUUUUAUGGAUCAUUAUGGACACGGCUCAAGUGCUCCCUUGUAAUUUCUUAUAGUUGCAGCCUUAAACAAGGGUUACUUGGUUGUUUUAGGUCUUAUAUCUUUUUGGUUUUUUAUGAUGAGUCAAUUUGUCUAAUGUCAUACUGCAACUUAGCCCAUCUUUGGAUCCGGGCUCAUUGUGGGCCAGCAUAAUUUUAUCAAUUGUGUAGAGCUCAUCCUUGUUCCCGAGUGUAACUAUGCCACUUUCCACUGGAGAUAAACUGAUCUGUAGACUUGACAUGCAAUACAAUUUAAUUUUAUAACAUGGAUGAAGUGCUUUUUCAUUGUUGAUUUCAUUAAACUUUAAUGUUAAUUGUGCAGGUGUAUGCUAGUUUGUCACCUGUUGUCCAUAUUGUGGAUAUUGGAUCUGCUGCAACAGAGUCACUAGCAAAUGUAACGGUAUGUCUGCCACAAGUCAUACUUGUUUGUGGAUUUUUUCCUUGGUUUCUAUAAUAUGCGGGUGUUUGAUCAAAGGCUAAUAUCUUUUCAGCUUCUGUCAUAUUAGCUUUAUUUUUAUGGAACCAUGCCUUUAAACUGUCAUCUUGGAAUUACUGUGUUGUCUAGCUGUCAUCAAUGGUGAUAGAUGGGAAAUUUUUUAUUCCCUGCCAGGGAUGUCUAUUUAAUUUACCCAAUGAUUGUAUUGCAUGCUCUCCCCAUGGAUUGUGGUUCUGUAUGAUGUGCAUUGUUCUGUGUGUUAUAGGGCACCAUUGUCUGGCUAGGUGAUAUUUAUCAUUGUGAGUUAGUCCUUGUUCUUGGUGAGGAGCCCUGUUAUCAUGACUAUUAGAAAUCAGGUUACGGUCAUAAUGCUUGGGAUCAUCCAAUUCAGUAAGUAAGAUGCUCACUGGAGUAAACCACUUUGCGCUACAGAGAGGCAAUCCUGCACCUUGAGCUAUGGCUUACUCAGUUGUCCUCUUAUAGAUAGCCAAUUUUUUUUCUUGGGAAAUUCAAUGAUUAUAACUCGGUCCUACUUUUGUUUCUUCAUCGUUUUUAUUGCCACAAAGUGAUCAAUUAAUAUUUUCAUAAAUUUUACAAAGCAAAUGGCCAUUGGUUUCAUUCACAUCAAAAUUUCUAUAUGCAGGAAAUUCAUAAUGGUUUGGAUUUUUCUGUCGAUAACGAUGAUUAUGAUGAAUUUGGGAUCUUCUCUGUGAAGUUUUCAACUGAUGGGCGAGAGCUUGUAGCUGCAAGUAGUGAUAAUUCAAUAUAUAUUUAUGAUCUUGAAGCAAAUACCUGCAGUCUCCGAGUUCCUGCACAUAAGGUAUCAUAUUUGUACAUUUCAUCAUAAGAAGCUUAUAGGAUUUUGAAAUUUAGUGGGGUCAUUGAAAGUUAGAAUCUGUUGCUUGUUUGGAAUUGGUUGAUGAGGUGCAAGUUACAUCUAGACAAUCUGUAAGCAACAUUCAUCUUGUAUUACUACUUGGUAGUUUUAGUUUGUAUACAUAAAUGCUGCUAAAUUGUCUAUCUGAUUCCUUUGAAACUGAAAACGCAGACCCUUGCCUGCCUAUUGACCAGUAGAUUUAUUUGCUUUGCAAAAGACAAUAUCUUGUUUCAUUCUCAAUUUUAAUUGUUAGAGAAAUUAGUUGUAUGGCAUAUUCAUCAGUCCAUAUUUUAGAGUAUGAAGGCAGCAAGCCAAGACGGUUCUAAAGAAGUUUAAACUAAAUCAUACAAGUGAAAUUAUUUUUCUUUUCUGCUCAAAAGUUGAUGCAUUGUAUUCUUUUUCUUAAUUGCUGUCUUUCUCCCCUUCUUUAUCAUUUCCCUUCUCUGAAUGCAGGGUGGGUCUAUAUUUCAGUGAAAUACAGAACUAAAUCAUACAAGUGUAUAAUUAUUUUUCUUUCCUGCUUAAAAGUUGAUGCUUUGUAUUCUUGUUCAUACUUGCUGUCUUUAUUCCCUUCUUUACCAUUUCCCUUCUCUGAAUGCGGGGUAGGUCUACAUUUCAGUGAAAUACAGCGAACAUCUGUGAACUUUUUUCUUGGCAAGAGUGAUUAAAAUGAAGAUGUUAACACAGUAUAUUCUUAAAUUUUUUGGGCUUUCUCUCAAGCAGGUUUUGGUGUUUUGGAUAUAUCAUGAUCUGAUUUGUGUUGCUCCUGCAGUCUGAUGUCAACACAGUAUGUUUUGCGGAUGAAGCUGGCCAUCUCUUGUAUUCGGGAAGUGAUGAUAACCUCUGUAAGGUGAAAGCUAUUCUUUAGCCUUUAAAGAUUUAGGUCAUCUUGUUCCGUAGUGCUACCCAAUAUUCAUUCUGGUUUAAACAGUUUGCAGAUGCCUCACUGUAGGUUGAAUAGAAUUUUUAUUACUGGUGCCUUGGAAGUUACUUUAUGCUAGUAUUGUCAGUUUGUCACCAGCUACAUAAAGUUAACAUGAACCAGGCCAAUUUGAAUAAAUAAUGAUGCCUUUUCAUGCUUGCUGAAAUUUAACAUGGCACUGACUUUGCAUCUCUUAAUUGGUUUCUUUAAUGAAGGAACUUUCAUUUGUCUUUUACUUUAAUUUCUGCAGGUGUGGGAUAGGCGUUGCUUUAUCUCAAAAGGAAAAGCAGCAGGGGUCUUGAUGGGACAUCUAGAAGGCAUUACAUUCGUAGACAGCCGUGGAGAUGGGCGUUAUUUUAUUUCUAAUGGAAAGGAUCAGACUACCAAACUAUGGGAUAUUCGAAAGAUGUCCUCUAAUGCCAAAGAGUAGUAAUGUUACUGCUUCCUCCCCCUUUCACCCCAUGCAAACUUGCACACACAUAUUCCCUAGAUGUUUACUUACAUGUUUUUUAAUUGCUUUCCUCUAAGUUUAUAUUACCAUGCUGUAAGUUUGAAUCAUUCUUGUUUGGAGUUGAUCAUUUGAAAUUCUUAUUCCAUGUGACGAACUUGUAGUUAGCACUUUCUGUUGGUGGAUGAAGCUUGGGUGGAGCCAAGUGGGACUCAGAUUGAUGCUAACAGUUUUCAAGUUGUAUGCCUUGUUCAAUUUAUUGUAUAUGGUUUGUAUUGUGUCUUUAACAGACAACGAUUUUCUAUUUUGCUUAUUCUGCUUAGCAUAUACCUGAAACUGUCAAAUCUGGGUUUGGAGUUAGGACGGAAGACAUUUACUCUUACAAUAUGUCAUCUCAAGGGUGCAGCAUCCUCCAACUUGGCUUUGGAGGCCUCGCUCCUCAUCUUUUUAUAAAUUGUUUUCAGAAUGAAUAAACUUUUUCAGAAGUUUGGAUUUGCAGAUAAAGGCAAAUGGACUUUUUGAUGAUGAAUUAACAUGUUAAAGGUUUGGGGUGGGGGGGUUGGGGAUACACAUUUCUAAUUUAAAUUGCUUCAUGCACCUGUGUAUUGUAGAUCUGGGGUAGGGGGUGGGCAUACACAUUUCAAAUUUAAAAAUUGCUUCAUGCACCUGUGUAUUUUUAGAGCUGGUUUGAGUUUACAGUGUGAAAAGACAGAACUACGUGCUUAACCCACCAAAUUUUGGAAAAGAUCUGAUUUACCUGUACCAGAACUGAUUGAUGCUCUCCUGAAAUCAAUUUGGCUGCUGACUUGCCUCUUUUCAAACAGCACUCCAAGGCUUAGAGAUUCUGACUGGGAUUAUAGAUGGAUGGAGUACCCACCCCAUGCCAAAAUCUUGAAGCAUCCUCGUGAUCAGUCUGUGACCACUUACAGAGGUCAUUCAAUCUUGCGCACUCUCAUUCGCUGUUACUUCUCUCCGGAAUAUAGGUACUAGUCAAUUAAAUUUGGCGUAGUUGCCUCUGCAGAUAUAUGUUUUAAUUUCAGUUGUUGAAAUGCAUUUUUUCUGUCUUGAACUUCCUGUAAAGCCAGGCUUCAUGUUGGUCAAAGGAUUGACCCAGGGUGCUAUUCUUUCUGGUUGUCUGGAUUUACUGUCCAGACUACCCUAAAUUUAGUUUCUCAGAAACACAAAAUAACUUGAUGUUUUACUACCUGGUUGUGGCAGUUGAAAGUUUUCCAUCAGUAACAGAUUUUACCGUGUCAGUAUUCAGUUAAGUUAGAUAAAAUUUGUCUGAUGAAAUUGGCUUCUAGGUAGAAUUGGACAGGACCUACCACGCACACUGCCUGCUCAACAGCUUGUUUGGUUUAGGGCUUUGCUUUGUCAUGAUUAUAUUUUGUUUAUGGUAUUGAUGAUUGCAAGGGCUUCACCAAUUUGAUUAUUCUCUUGUUGCAGCACCGGCCAGAAGUACAUUUACACUGGAUCUAGUGACUGUUCUGUUUAUAUUUAUGAUCUGGUAUGUUUGUGAUAUUAGCUCUCUUCUUCAAAAUCAACAUCUUAUUUCUCUGGCAAUGCUUCGAUUAGUAGUUGAUGCAGAGAAAUGAGGGAAGUUUGUUAUUGUUUGUAGGUAAGUGGAGCCCUAGUUGCAACACUCGAUCAUCAUGAAGGUCUUGUAAGAGAUUGUAGCUGGCAUCCUCUGUACCCUAUGAUAAUCAGCUCUUCUUGGGAUGGUGUCAUUGCCAGAUGGGAAUUUCCUGGCAGUGGUGAAGCCCCUACUCCGGUGGUGAGACGAAGGUCAAGUCUGAGGCGGGAUCUCUAGGAAGAUCACUCACAGUUGAUUGUUCCAUGCAUGAUUUUUGCUACUUUUUCCGUAGUAUGUUGUGAUGCAUGGCUCUGUGUUAGUCAAGGUCACUCACGAGGUCACUGCUUCAAAACGAAAUAAAACGCAGUUGGUGAAGGUAAAAACAACAGGUUCUUUCCUGUUCUGUGCCAUUAAUACGGCCUGUAUAUAUGUAUGCCUUGUGACAACAAGCUGUGCUUCAUCACAUUGUUCCUGGUUGCAAACUGCAUUAUAAUCCUGCAGCCUACACUUUCUGUAAUCAUACUGACACUCUUGUCUUCGGAAAAGAAGCUGCUCCCAUGCGUGGGAGAAUAAAGUGAAUGAGUUACAUGCUGCUUUGUUGAAAUCUCUGGGUUUGUAGUUGGAAAUAUUUUGAGAACCACAUUAUAACUUAUUUUAGUGUUAAAAUAAAAUAACAAUAAUAAUAAUAAUAAUAACCUCUCAAUCUAAAAAAAAAAUAAAAUUGUUUUUAUAAGAAAAUGAAUUUAUUAAAUAGUGUUUGAUUAUUAUUAUAGUAACAGUUGAAUAAAGAAGACUUGUCUAUAAUUUCUGUUUUAAAAAUAAAUAAACUUAUUUUAAAAGUUAUUUUAGGAUAGAUUUUUUGUUUUUUUAUCUCCAGUUGGCUGAAGAAGGGAUAUAAUUGAACAAAUUAGUCAUACAAGUCCCAGUAGAUAAGGAAGAGCGAGUCCUCUCAAUGUUAUUGAAGGCUUGGUUUUUAACUUUAGAGUUCAUGUAAUUAGUUAUAUUAUAUGCAAACUAGCCCGAAUAUUUAUAUUAAUUAAAAAAACAGAACUGUUAUUAUGGAGUUUCUUUUAAAAAAAAUACAGUACACGCGCGGAUCAUCUACAACUUCAGCUUCACACACACACACGCUGACACUGCUCCAGUCGUCCUAUUUAGCGCUCAGAAACCAAAACCACCCGACAAAAACUCUCUUCUCUCCCUCUAAGAAUACUUAAGAAAUGGCAUCACCGACAACAAGAGUGACAUUUCGGCUAGUGGUGGCGAUUCUAGUAGUGACGCUCGUCCUCUUCUACGCCGGCCGCCCUCUCUACUGGAAAAUCUCCGCCACUGUUCAAGAGAUCCGCGAGAACAAACGCACCGUCAAACAAGGUCAGCCAGCCACCAAGCAGCUCUUUCAUUAAAUUAAUUUGAUUGAAUGAAUCUGUUAAUUGAGAAAUCUGUGUUACGUUACAGGCAUUUCUCAGUUUGUUUACGAAGCGCAGAAAUCGGUUGGCUGGUUUCACGACGAGUCCGAUUCUGGAGCCCGCGAGAACAGGAGAGCGAGGUCACUCUUUUAAUUUAAGCUUUUUAGGUUAUUAUUAUCAUCUGAAAGCUUUUCAAAAUAAAUUGCUUGGUUUGAGUAGAUCCGCUUCAUUGUUUGCUCUUGUUGUAGUAUCAGUAACUGUAAUCCAAGGAUUUUAUUGAAAUGAUAGCCAAACAUGUACCCCAAUUUAUUUAUUUAUUUACUAUUUUGUUGUGCUGAAUUUUAUCGGUAAGGAAAAAAAAAAUACAUCAGUAAAAUUAAUAUUGUUCUUUUUUAUAUUAUUAUUAUUAUUAUUAAGAUUUAUUACAUUGAUCAAUUGUUCAAAAGCAUGCUUUAGUGCUAAUAAUAGCCAGAACUCUACAACUCUUCAUAUCCGUCCUCCAUUAAAGCCUUGUUUCAAAAAUAUUUUUAAAAAGUAAAUAUAAAAUAUUAUUUUAAUAUAUCUUUAAAUAAAAAAAACAUUUUAAAAAGCAUUUACUGGGACAAUACUAAAUAAAAAUUAAAAUCUCAAUAUUGGAGCAGUCUUCUCUCUUCUUGAUAGCUAUUGACUAAUUGCAAGUAUGUCAAGGCCAUCACCAACAUUUUGGCACCUCAUCAAUUGGAGUCUUGUAUUCAUGCUUACUGUGUCGGCAUAGAUAAUUAGCUGUGUCAAUUAUUUUAAGAAAAUUAUGGAGACAACGUGUUAAAGUUGUCUCAAAUCUCAAUCUGACUCGCCAACAACCCAAUUAAUCAAAGAAGAGGAGUGCUUUAAUUUCAGGGCCCGUGAAAUUAGUCGAGGUGCGCGUAAGCUGAUCCGGACACCUACGUUAAACUAAAAAAAAAAAAAAAAAGAGGAGUGCUUGUUAAUACGGCCCGGGAAAAUACAAGUCCUCUAACUGUAUAUGCUAUGUUAUGAGUGAGAUUUUAAAUCAAUUUAUAAGAAAUAACAUUGAUGUGUUUUUAUGUAUUAUGAUUUCUUCUAGUUGUGGGAUGAAAAAAUGUUUAUGUUUAAUAAAAUAAAUUAAAAGAUGUAAGAAUUGAUAUAUUAAAAAAGAAUUGUGAAUAGCAAAUCUUCUUGGUAGAAGCAAAAGAUAGAUUGACAUGCAAAUAUUUUAUACUAGUUAUUAUUUUUAUUUUAUACGUUUUAUUGACAUGCAAAUAUUUUAUACGUUUUAUUUAUUUUAUUUUAAAGGCUAAUUAUUGCUGCUAAUAACAAAAGAUUUUUGUUUUUAUAAAUAUAUCAUGUGUCAUACAACUAAUUUAUAUAAAAUAUAAAAGAAAAAAUUGGAGACAAAUUAAAAUAACCUCUUCAAAAGAAUUAUGAAACUAGAUUUUUUUUUUCAAAAAAUCAAUCACUUUUCAGCUUUCAACUAAUCAAUCACUUUUAAAAAAAUUAAGAUUGAAGUUUUUAGAUCUUCAAAACUCAAUUUUCAGCUUGUUGUCCCUUGAAAACGCUUCAAAACAUAAUAAGAACCUCAACAAACCAGUUCCCAACCCUUAACACACUCCAAAAAAAUAAAAAUCAAAUGAAUUAAAAAAGAAAAAUUACUUGUAGCAUCCAGUUUAGUUGAAAUUGCAAUUACCUACUAAAUUAAAAAGAAAAAUAGUUUGCAUCCUCGAUCAACACAAGUUUCUAAAUUGAAUGAACUCCAACAAAAGACAAAUAAAAAAUUCUCUCUCCUCCAAACACAAUUUCUCCCUCUUUAAAUGUCAUUUUCUCUUUUUUUUCAUAAUGAUAUGAACCCAAAUUCAAACUAAAAUCUAGUAUUUUUAAUCGAUUUUUCUCUUCAUGUUAUUGAAAUCUCUCGCUUUUCUUGAAAUACAAUUAGUUAUAUAUUUUCAAAAGUCCAAAAAAAAAAACCCCAAAUUGAAGCUUAGAAAGAACCCUAAUUUUUUAAUGUUUGUCAAUUUAUUGGUGAAAGCAAAUUGAUUCCAAGCAAAACAUAUAAAAACUCAUUUUCCGAGAAAAUUCAAAUAUUUUCUGGGAAAAUCUCUAUAUGAUCUUUUUGAUUCUCUAUAAAUCCACCUCUUAUCGAGUCCUUACUGAAAAAAUUAUAAAAUCUUUGAAUACUGGAUUAAGAUGGCAGCACCACCACUAAUCUGAUGAUAACAAUGAUGAUUAUGCUUGCCCUUUUGAUUCUGGGAGUGAAUUCACAGUCCAACAUUCCCUUUGUAAAUUACAAAGAACAACCUCUGUCUUAAGAGAAAGAAAGAGACCCCUUUGCUUAUUGAGUAGUGAAAAAUGAUAGUAUAGAGAAAAAGUUGAUUGGUUGUUUACCAAUUAACAACAUAGGAUGUUUGCAACAUUUUUUCUCUAUAUACGAAAUUCAAAAUUCUUGACCAAGCCCCUCUCAUUUUUUAGCUUAGAUUAAGGGCUUAAACUCAUUCCAGUGAGGCUUCAAACCUAGACAUGAUCUCCUUUUUUCUCGAGCCAAAUUGCUAAUGGUAAAUUCUUUUAUUAUGAUUUUAAGAUUUAAAUGAAAUAAAAAGCCGAUGUCUUGCAGAAAACAGGUGGGGUUUCUUAUGCACAAUGCCAAUAAAGAUCAUCAAAAAUCAAUCUUGACAGAAGAUUGCAAAACAUUGAAAGACAUAAGAAGAAAAAAAAAGAUAGUGGAUUUGGAGUUCGACUGGAUUGUGGGUUUGCUAAGGUUGUGGGUUUAUGUUUGGAGAUCGCGGUUGGUGAGGGAUUAAAGAAAAAGGGAAGGUGGCAUUUAGGUUUAGUGUUUAGGGGAGAAGAUGGCUAGAACUGUUUUUUUUUUAAUUCAAUGCAAAGUUUAUAAUAUUUAAUAUAAGAGUUUUUUAAUUAUUAAAUGAAAAAUAAUAGCAAACAUGCAAGCUUUUUUUUAGUGCGCCAGGUACAAGAUGUAAAUUGUUAUGUGCGCACCAAAGUUUAGGGUGCAAACUAUAUUUUUUUCAAAACUCGGUAGGCAAAUUCAAUUUCCACCAAACUAUAGGAUGUUAGGGGUCAUUUUCCAAAAAAAAAAAAACUAAAUAGACCCCUUUUGUUUUUUUGUUAUAGUUAUAGAGAAACACAACCUACAUUGAGCUCCUUUCAGAAAAAAAAAUCCAUUCACAAAAAUAUUGGCUUUUUUGUCGCUGAAAUAUGGCCAUCAGAGCAUUUUAUCUCUUUUUAAGAAUUUUCAGCGACUUUCUCUCUCAUCUCUCAACAUUUAAAAACUAAAAUGUGAAAAAAAUUAUUGAAAUCAAAACAUGAAUUUCCAAAAGAACAAGGACUCAAAGAUAGGAAAUCUUAAAUUUGCGGGAUAAAACUAAAGUUUUCGUGUCAAAAUCUAAAUGAGACAUGUUUUGUUGUUUUUUUUUUUUUCAAAUGUAAUCCGUGUUCUUUCAAUUUCUAUUUUCAAUCUUAAUUAAAUUUUGAUUUCACAAAAUCAAAGUCUAAUUCAUUAUCAAACACAUCUCAAGACUUAAAACAUGCUAGAUAAUGCAAAUUAAAAGAAAUGUAAAAAAAAUAUGUUAUCGUAACUUUAAAGGAUGAAAUUGAAAAAAAUUAAAAGAUUAAUGAUCAUAAAAACAAAAAGCACUGUUUAAAAUAAAUAAUGCAAUCUAUAGCAACACGAGUCUUAAGCAACUGUGAUUCCAUGCGUAGUGAUUUCCCCAUCUAUUUUAGUUUAUUUACUAAUUAUUAAAUCAAAACUAUUUUAUGGAGAAAAUUUUAUGGAAAUCACAUAUAUAGAAAAGUUUACAAAGAACACAUGAAGAAAGUGUAUACUUUUUUCAUUCAUUGAGAAAUAUUAGAGUAAAACAAUUGGUCGUCUAAUGGUGAUAUAAUAUGAAUGUCAUACAUGAAGGAGAUUAUUUUUGUUGGUGUAGGUGUUGGCUUUGUUCACUUUGGUAUUUUGUAAGGUUCAUUCCAUUUUGAAAGUGAUUUUCCUUUUUUUUUAAGUUGUUCAUUUUGGUCUAUUUUUUUUCAUGACCAUGUCCUCCAUCUUGAAUUGUCUAUUUUUGACUUUUGAAUUAUGAUAUUAGAUUGUCUUUUAUGUGUAAGUCUAGUACAUAUAGGUUUGUCUAAGUAUUUUUUUCACCCUUCUCGGGAGAAUAGUACAACACUUUGUAGAUGAUGGAUCUGAUCUCAGCUAUUAUCAUGGUUUCACUACCAUAAAUGAGGAGAAAUGAUGUUUUCUUCGUAAAGGACUUCUUGGUGGUUUUGUAUUCAUAAAGGAUUUAAUUAAAGAGAUUUGACCAUUUUCAUUUUGCUUAUAAUUUUUUUAAAUCAAUUUAAGAGAAUCAUGUUUAUGAGUUUAAUUUGCUUGUUUGUUUAGGGAUGGGACAUGAAGGAGAAUCUAUGAUUUAUAUGUAGCAUAUAACAAUGAUUCUUUUUAUUUUUAUUAUCUAACUUGGUCUUGUUGUCUGUAAUUAAGACUUUUGACAACCUAAAAUUACAAAUAAUAUUUUUUUUUUCUAUAUGAAGAAGAUGACUUUACUAGCAGUUAUCGUGGUCAAGACUUUAAUAUAUACUUAAUUGAUAAAGUAAUCCAUAACAACUAAGAAAAACUAAUUUUUUUCAAAUUGGUCCUAACAAGAUCUUCAUCCCUUAUUGAGAGAAAAGCUAAGGUGAGGUGAUGACAGUUAUUUCUACUAAGGUUUGGUGGUAUAGUAGAGCAAAUAUUUAACACUUAUCACACAAUUUAACUAGGUCUAUCAUAUUUUGAAUAGGCCAAAAGAAGUUUGCUUAGGUUAUUUAAGGUGUUAUAAGGCCUUUGCAUCCAUGUGUAUGCCAUAAACCUAUUCAUAGAUCUCCCCAACACAUCUUGGCUUUUUUUUUAGAGACAUACAUUUAAGGGGUUGAGUUAUUACUAACCAUAUAUAUGGCUCACCAUCUAUUAAAUAAUAUCAUGCACAUCUUCUUAUAAAGUAGAUGACUUCAUUCCUAGUUAGGGAGAGAUCCAUUGUCAACAAAUAUUGUUUGAUAUAAAUUAUUUAAUCUUCAUCAUUGAUAGUGACUUGGAUGACACUUAGGAGUUCCUUAACAUAUUUGAUGUUUAACAUAUCUAGAACUUCUAUCCAAACAUAAAAAAAAGAGCUCUAUAGAAUCAAAGAUUGUCAAUUUUAACAAAAGGUCAACCCUGUCAUUUUCUUGUUUGAGAAUCAUGAUGAUGGAGAUUGUUUUUUCUUCUUCUUUCCUAGUAGUGAAAUGUUCUAGUGUCUUUUGCUAUGAUUUAAUCAUAAAAGGUUCUUUAGCAUCAAAUUAUCCCUCAUAUUGAACCACUAUCAAUUGUGAGUCGUGGUAUAUCUAGAGGGGAUAAAACUUAAAACUUUAACUAAGCUAAGCGUGACUAAAAAAGCUUUGUAUUCAAUGGCGUUGUUGGAGGACGAAAAUUCAAAAUGGUGUCCUUAUUCAAAAAUAUAUUCUUUGGAACUUAUCAAUACAAUCCUAACCUCACACCUCUAAAUAUUGGAGUACGCGUCCACAUAUAGCCUCCAUAUGGCCGGGGUAUCAUUAACACGAGUCUUGUAUCUUAUUCAUGUAUUGGCAAUUUCGUGAAAAAGUACUUUAUAAUGAAAUUUGGCAAAGAUUGGGCUUUUAUAGCCAGUCUUGGCUAGUACUAGAGACCAUACUUUCCUUACUCAAUGACUCAUUAGACCAUUUAUCUUGAUAUAUUUGGUUUUUAGAUAAUUUAUCUAAGAGGUUGGUCGGUCAAGACAAUCACUUGGUGUGUUUAGAAAUAAAGCUUUAACUUUAUUGUUAUGCUUACCAAUGUUAAGGCCUUCUUCUUUACCUUUACGCAUCUAGUAUUAACAUCAUAAAGAGUUUUUCUAGUGUAAUAAAUUGACUUUUAUAUCUCAUCCUCCUCCCUAACUAGAACGAUGUUAAUGGUCGAGUCUGCCACCCCAAAAUAGAAAAAACAAUUUUCACCUACUUUGAGUUGAGAUAUAACUUUUGAAGACAAGUGUACUUUGAAAUAUUUAAAAGUCUUUUGUCAUUUUGGAGUCCAUUGGGAGUGGUUAGUAUUUUUUAAUGUUUUGAAGAACGACAAAUAAUUUUCUCUUAGGUGAGAAAUAAAUUUGUUGAAAGCAACCAAUUUUCUGGUGAGUCUCUAUACAUCUUUCACAUAUUAUGGAGGUUUCAUGUCUAAGAUGGCUUAAACCUUCUCGAGAUUAGGUGUUAUCCUUUUGUUAGUGACCAUAAAUCUCGAGAACUUUCCCCCUUUAAUAACAAAGAUACAUUUGGUUCGAUUCAAUUUUCAUUUAAUAUUGACGAAGAAUAUAAAAGACCUUUUAUAGAUUUGGAAGUGGUGUUCAAAAGUCAUGCUCUUUAUUAGUAUAUCAUUCAUAUAAGCUUUCAUGUCCUUGACCAAUUUGUCUUUGAAUUAUUGAUUCACCAUCCUUUAAGAAAUGGCUUUUGUAUUCUUAUGCUUAAAUGACAUGACCUUAUAACAAAGUUUUCUAUAUUAUCAUGAAAGACAUCAUUUUUAUUGUAUCUAAGGUACAUAGAAAUUUGGUGGUAUCCUAAGUUAGCAUAUGAAGAGCUUGAGAACUCAAAGCUCGUCAUGGAGUCUACUUUGUCAACUUUUGGUAAGGGAAAAUUAUCCUUUAGAAAAGCAUUGUUGAGGUUGUUGAAGUCACUUAUCCAUUCUCCAUUUACCUUCUUCACCACGACCAUAUUGGCAAGCCAUUCAAAGUUUAUCAUCUCCCAAAUAAAACUACCCUUAGGAGUUUAUCCAUCUUCUUAAAUAUCAUCUUAUCUUUUUCACUAAUUUAUUUUGGUGAAUAUGAGGGAAAAAGGUUAACAUUUGACUUGUGGAUGACCACGCAACAUUUGACAUAUAUAGGGGCUCGAAUGAGAAAUUAUCUCUUUGGAUUUUGAGGAGCUUUGUCAAGUUUUUUUCUUCUACUUGGGAUCUUAUCAUUCUCUUAGAGGUUUACUUUUUAUAAUUUUUAUAUCAUUUUGAUACAUGUUUCCUUUCUUUCUUUCAUAAACCCUUCUUAUGUUAUUUGAUUCAUUCAAAUUUUUUUAUAAAAAAUCACAUGGUCAAGUACAACAUGUUGAUGACAAUGCUGAUUUCAUGGAGGAAUGGUUUUUCAAUGAUGACAUUAUAGACCAAAUAUAUCUUCAUCAUCAUAAAAGUCUAUUGGAGAGUUAUGUACUUAUAAUACGUAUCAAUGGUGACAAGUAUCUCAAUGACACCUAUGUAUUUUUUUUAUUCCAAUCAAUAGCUUCUUGACUAAGGUUAAUCUAGAGUUGCCUAUCCCUAUUUUACUCAUUACCGUUUAAGAGAGAUUGUUCAUCACACUUUUAGCACCCAUCAAAACUCAAUGGACUUGAUGCUUGAAGAGGAUGGUGUUGAUCACUAAUGCAUCUUCAUGGAUGAAAACCACCCCUUCCUCAUCUUUUAAAGUUAACGCAAUUGGUUCGUUCCAUGGGUUUGGGCAUGGGAAACAACUAGAACCUACUUUUUAUAAGCUCUUUUCUCUUGACUAUAAUAUCAUCCUACUAAAAGCUCGUCUAGGAUCAUAUUGAUCUUAGCCCAUGCCUCAUUAUUUGCACUAAGUAUUAUUUUUCAUAAACUAUUGAAAAUGGCUCUUGAAUUUUUAUAGACAAGUCGUUUAUAAAUCUUUUUAAAAGAAAUUAAAGGGAUGACAACAUGCAUCUACCCCCUUAAUUAAAAAAAUAAAAUAAAAUUAGGGUCAGUUGUGAGGGCUUAGAGACUUGCUACAUGUGGGUCGUGUUGGGCUGGCCCUUUGCUCUUUUUUUUUUUUUUAGUUUGUUCUGUUUUUUUAAUUAUUAUGUAUCUAAUAAUAAUAAUAAUAAUAAAAUUGUUUAUGAAAAUUCGAUUGAAAUCAAUGUUCUUAUUAUUAAGAAAUUUAAAUAUAUUUUGAACAUAAUUUUAUCAAUUUUUUUUUAAUCUUUUGAUCACAUAAAAUAUGGACAUAUUAUUUUGUUUUGACUUCGCUUUAACAAUUAUAAAAUGUUUUUAUCUUCAAUAUAAACAAUGAUUGCAGUUAAAAACAUUGUAUUGAUUAAGAUAAACAAGAAAUACAUUAAUAGAAAAAUUUAUUUUCAUAAAAAAAUUUCAAAACAACUAUAUUUUCAGAGUUAAUGCCUAUACCAAAGAAUUUUCCGAGACUUAUAUAAAAAAAAAUUAAAAUGAUAGUAUUUUCAAGAUCUAUUUACAAGGGAAAAAAUAUAUUUUUGUGGAACCCCCAAAUGAAAGUGUAUUAAUUCUGUGUUUAGAUUCAAUCUCUCCUUGACCUUUUCAAGUUUUGGGAAAAUAUCGAGGUAUAUGGACACCAUUUUGCUUGACUAUCGCAUAAUAUGGAUGAAUUCUUGGCGACGAGUCUCUCUGUCCGGUCCUUUAAAAGACAACGGCCAAAUUCAAGAUCAAGAUUUUGGUCACUCUGUGUAUCAAAAUCUUGAAAAAUAAUAUAAUUAUUAAAUUGAAUUGAAGGAUUAACUCUAUAUCCCAAAUGUCAAAAACCCCUCAUUGUUCGUCUAAAAACUAAUCAUACUUCAAAUGUCUUUUCUCCCCUUAAAUUCAAAUUAAUUCUUUGAAUAUCGUUCACGAUCCUCGCAAGACAUGAAAUAUUAAUAACAUGUUUUUUUGGGAGCCAAGGAUUGCUCAAUUAUAAUUGCCAAUUCCUAGCACAAAAAGGUCAAUAAUGGAUAAUGGUAUCCCAUAAUUUUUUUAUUUUCCAUUAUGGACUCCCAAUGGUGCUCGAGCAUAACUUCAUUACGUGGCCUUCCUCCAUUAUUUAGGUGCGUUUGUUUUACACCUGUUUUUGUAUUUGUGGUGUAAAAAACACAACAAAAUGUUUCGUAACUGUAAAAACUGUGUUUUAUACUGUGGGGUGCACUAAAAAAUUAAGUUUGAAACACAGUUUUCAUAAAGCAAUUUUUACAUGCUUUUUUAACCGAGAUUCGUAAAAUACUGUUUGUUUUUGCGUUUCAAAAGCGCUUUUGAAAAAUUUGAUAAUUUUUUAUUUUUUUAUUUGCUUCAAAUUAAUAUUUUUUGGUGUUUUUAGAUCAUUUUGAUGCGUUGAUAUCAAAAAUAAUUUUUUAAAAAUAAAAAUACAUUAUUUUAAUGCAUUUCCAAGUAAAAAAUACUUUAAAAGCAACCGCAACCAUAUAACUACCAAACAUUUUAAUAUAUGUUUUUUGCUGCACAUAAGCCUCAACCACAAUUUUUGUCAAACACGUAUCUAAAUCCAACUAACCACAUCUAAUCAUGCUUUUUUAAAACUUAUUUUUUUAAAACUACAAUCAUAAAAUCUAGCUCAAAAAUAAAUAUACUUUUAAAGGAAACAUACUUUUAAAGGUAAUAAAGUGUGGUUUGACCGAGAUGGAGUACAAGUGGUAGAAAGCAAAGCUUCUUUUAGUGCACACACCAUUGCAAAACACAAUUAGUAAUGAUUCUGUAAUCUUCUGUUCUCGCUUUUUGCUCUCUCUUUAUCCCCUUUUAAACACUCUAUUUAUCCAAUAAAGUCCAUUAAUUCAUUCAAUUGUUGGAAAACAAUUUAGCAUGUUGAUAUACAUUAUUAAAGCCGUCAUGAUCUAAUCUAAAAAAAUUAUAAUUUAGAGUUUAAUUCAAAUUGGAUUCUAAUCUAAAAAAAUUAUAAUUUAGAGUUUAAUUCAAAUUGGAUUUUAAGCUGAACUAAAAAUAUUAUUGACUCAAUGAAACCCAUUAAUCGAAGGAGUUUUUAAUAAUUCAAUUGAUUUUAUUUAAAUUUAAAAUAGUCAAAAUCAAGAAAUUAAAAACCAUGUAUUUUUAAUAAAAAUAAUUGACCUAUUGCACAAUACACCAAUAAUCUAGACUCUUUUAUGAUUUAAUCCGAGAAUCAGAUCCGACAAAUAUGGACAUCCAAGUCUCAACUCCAACGGCUAAAACUGAAAAAACAAAACGGACAAACCACGUGGGAAACGCAUAACAGAACAAUGUACAUACGUAGGAGCGCACAAAGUCUCUUAAUUCUACUGUUGAAAAUAAUGCAUGAAGCUGCUUAUAUAAUUAAGAACUUAAACCAAAUCUUUGUAAUCUGGAAAAAUCUAAACUGUUAAUUUCUUUAUGUUAAUUCUGAGUCCUAGCUAACUAGGAAAAUCAAAACAAGAUUAUGUACCUUAACUAGGAAAUAAAUUCUAAUAUAACUAGGAAAAAAUUCAAACAACUUCUACUAGAUGAUCAUCAUGCUUGAUUCUAGUUAAUGUUCGAUCACAAUUGAUUGAUCAUGGUUAAUUAUUAUCUAAUGCGGUUGAUUCUAUUAAUAGAAAACCUUGUUGAUGCAUCCAAACUUUUUCUUGAGCUUCAUUUUUCCUCAUCUGAAAACUUAUUCUUAAGUUCUGGCCAUUAAUAUUAGCAAUCACAUGACUUGAACCUGAGAUUACAGGGAAGCAAACCUCUUAAUUUCAAACUCUUUUCUCUAGGUCACCUACUAGAUGGUUUUACCAUAACAAUUUUGAUUUCUAGUCAAAUGCAUAUUUAAAAACACUCAGAAAGUUGCAUCAUCAACAUCUUUUUCAAUUUGUUUCCAAUUGGAUCAUCACCACUAGACUCUAGCCCCACAUAUUUGUUCUUCAAGAUUUGUUUCAAACUCUCCGGCUCAUUGGUUUGUUCCUUAUAUAAGCAAGUAUCUUCAAUUGUCUUUGAUCAAUUAGAAUUUUGUGGGUCAGCCAAUAUUUCUCCUUCUUGCAUGUACUUGUCAAUGUUUUGAAUUAUGAUUUUAGUCUCACCAUCUGUUUUCAUGGAGAGUAAUGUACUUACUUGAUGGUAUCUGAUUUUGCUAUUUAUUCUAAUCUUUUCUUUUCAGGAUUGUCUAACCUGAAAGACCCUCAUUUUCUUUUAAUGCUUCAAGACCAGCUUGAGAAUCAGUAUAGAAUGCUCAUUUAGGAGCUUCUUUGAUUUUUUAUUUACAAUUGAUACUUGAAAUACCUACUAGCAAAGCAGUGUUCAUAGCUUGUUUGACAAAUCCUAUUUUUUCCAGAAUCUUGUUCAAAUAAAAGUAAGUUUCUAUCUCUAACAACCGUUUAAUAAAUUCUUUUUUUCUGGUGAGAUUUUGGAGCUUUUAGUCUCAUCAUUUGGAUUUUGAAUCUUAAGCAGUAUAUUUUGUCACACUUUGUGGGGUUGAUCCAGACAGAAAACAAUUUCUUUGUCUGAUUUUUGUGGGUAUUUUUUAUUUUAUCAAGAAGAUCUCUUUGUGGGGUUGAUCACGAGUACUGUUGAGAUAUUUCACAUUUUCCAUUCCAUAUGUUGCAAAUCGUUGAAUAGUCUAAACAAUUGUGAUUAUAUAUAUACAUGUUCCCUUAAAGCGUGAAUGGUUAAACAAGAUCCAAUCUUGAUCAAUUCACCAAGCCAUAACAUGUCCACAUUCAAGGCCGACAAGAUGGAGCACUCGCAACUGGAUUUUCCAGGAGGAUCAAAGGAAAUUAUAAAAUUGGGAAGGAACCGACAAUGGCAAGUCGAAGCACGCCCGCCCUACACAAAAAGAAGUGCGAUCAUGCAUGCUCUUUCAAAAUAUAGAAAUAUUUUUGCGGCAUGAUGUUCCUGCUCACAACAGUACUGUCACACACUCCCUUUCUCCUUCAGCUUUUACUACUAUGUUUCCACAUUUUCCUUAGCAUAAAUCGGUGUAGCUCCAUAGAUUAGGUUCUGAAUUUGCUUUUCAAGUUUCACAAACUUGAGAGCCAUUAGAGAUUUAUAUGAUUAUUAACUUCAAAACUCGUAAGAUUAGUUAAGGUGCGCGCAAGCUGGUUCGGGAUGUUUUGACCCGUAAGUUUCACAAAAUUAUGUUUUGACCAUACCACUGUGUAGAGGAGGAAGAGACGAAGCCAUUGGUGAAAACGGCGUCAAAAUCAGACGUCGGACAUGGCCGCACUCUCCAUCACUCUCCGGCAGGGCGUCUGCCCACGCGCGCAGACGGGCCCCACGCGUCUUCUUCGCCCGGAUGGGCUGACCCGACCCGAAUACCAGUUGACCCGACCCAUGUGACUGACCCGGAUAUUAAUGACGUCUGCAUGACAUAAUUGUGAUGUCAGCAUGCACAGUAGGCAUGACAGGGAUGGCAUCAGCAUGAUGUAAUUGUGAUGUCAGCAUACACAGGUGGCAUGCCAUGUCAGCGACCAGUCAGCUGACACGUCAGCACAGUGGGACCCACCUGCCACGUCAUCAGCCGCGAGCCGAGCCGAGCCAAGUCGAGCCGAGUGCGCCGAGCCGAGCCGCGAGCCGAGGGACAGGAUCCAGUGUAGCGGAUCCUACGUGCAACCGGAUCUGAGAUUGAAUCUGGGCCGUUCAUCAGGCCAGAAUUGUUUUGAUCAAAUCUUAGCUGUCUGAAAUGCGAUUUGGACGAUUUCAGACUUGUUUCCAGCUAACUUGAGGGAAGGCAAAAUUGGGACACUCCGGACACCCGAUCAAGUGGACAAUUAGAGGUGUAGAGUGAAAACUGAUGAAGACCAAUCUUGACGAAUCUAAGAACUGGUAGUCUCGCCAGAUGUUGAGAAAUCAUGUAUUAAACCAGUAUAUUCCAGAUCACUUGUAAAGGAAAGCCGCAACAAAGCUAGCAAAUGGUUAUAUAUACGGAAAGACAGUACGAUGGAUAGAUAUGGCCUAAGAAAUUCUGUCUAGGAGAUUGGGUUUUAAGCGGGACCAGUGUGACCCCUCCAAUCUUUCCUGGGAACUUGCUUAGUGGAAGGAUUAUCCAUACGGUACUAUUUUCGUAUAUAUAGCAUUUUGUAAUGAAACAGUUGAAGACUAGCAGGAUGGCGGCACAACGGAACAGUUGGGUUCCGUGUGAUCAAGGAUCUGAUGGAGUGGUGAUUUCUCCAAAGAAGUUAGAUUCGGUGACUGUGAUUUCUUGAGGGAGAAUUGAUGAAGACCCUGAUAAUGGAAGAGAAAUACAGCAGGGGAUAAAGAUUGGCACCCUAUUUUAACUUGGAUAGGUGUUAUGACAGGAUGAGCUGCUGUCAAACAUAAGCAAGGAAUAGGGGAAAAUCUGGAGAACAGAAAUUGCACGAGGGCACACGGAGAUUGUGCAGAGUACCCGUAGGAUCCAACGAGGUACUGUAAUGAGACAACAGGUGCAAGGAGAAGAAGAGUUACCAGAUGAAGCUCAGAGCAGAGACUGUGUGAAAAAUUGUACAACAGGAAGUCUCUUGUGCUCUUAAUGAAGACAACAGGCGAAGACCUUUCCAAUACAUGCAAGGAUGGAAAGAGAGCUGUUGCAGAGGCACCUAAUUAAGGGGGUGCAAAUGCCUGUGAUACAAGGCAACCGCCUAUGGUUAAAGGCGAAGACACCAAAGAGAGUUGGUGUAGGUGGAGUUGUUAAGCAGAAAGGCACAGAAGCUCCAAACAUAGAAAUCGAGGUGGAGGAUUGCGAGGAGUAUACCGCAACUUUCUCUUUCUAUGUAGUUAGUGGCAGUAAUCUCUCCCAUAGUGCACAUGGUGGUAGAGACUUUUGGAGCCACUUUGAAGCAUCUCAGCUGAAGGAGGAUGCGACCACCUAUGAAAGGUGAAGACACCUUAGAUGGAAGGUGUGUGUGUGGGCUGUGCUAAGAGCCCCGGAUCAGACCGCCCCAUGACAACGGGCGAAGACACCUUAGAGAAGGUGUAUGGGCCGUGAUAUGAGCCCAAGAUCAGACCGCCCCAUGACAACGGGCGAAGACACCUUAGAGAAGGUGUGAGGGCCGUGAUAGAAGCCCCAGUUCAGACCGCCGUAUGAUGAUGAGCGAAGACACCUAAGGAGAAGGUGUGUGGGCCACGAUAUGAGCCCAGUUCAGAACAACCCCAAAGCCGAUGUGAUGGCUAAAUAUAAGUGGACAGGUGUAUGGAUAGCCAAUGAAGUGGCUAUGAUGAGUAUGAAGACAAAUGUAGGAUUGACUUUCAUGGAUAUUGCCCCCAUGCUAAAGAUCAAUGAGCUAGAAGACAUUUGCCUUGGACAAUAAGUGUGUGACUUGUGGAGCAUUAAGACGCGGCUGCUAUGAAGAAGCAGAAGGGCAUGCGCAGGUUCCGAGAACGAGUUGACUCUUGUCAAGGUGGUGAGCUCGGUAAUGGCAUUGUAAUACUCAGACUAUGAAGACAGAUAUGGAUCAAUCUUUAAUGGGCUGCCCCCAUGGUUAAAGGUGGAGAGCUACCUGGACUCUUACGACUAAGAGCGAGAGACUCAUGAAGAAGUAAGGCGUGGUUCCUAGGGUGGAACAGAGGGCAGGCGCAACUCCUGGAUGAGUAGACUCUUGGAAGAGUGGUGAGCUUGUGAUCACAUUGAAAUACUCAAUGAUUGUCGCACUUGGGAAUAUUCGUUUGAGGGGGUGUUGUAAGCCUUGGUGUAAGGCUUGAAAAAUCAUUCCGGACCGAGCAUGAUUGAUACGCUCGAAGGGGAAUGUUGUGUUGAAGACGCUCUUAGAAUGGAAGCUUGGAAGAGCUGCAGAAGGCAAGCUUGUGCUGAAGAAGCAAGAGGACAAUUGCCACACAAAUGGCAAAGGGGGUGAUUGUUAGGAUAUUGCCAUUUAGUGGCAAUACCCCACCACUAAGCAAGUGGUUGCUCCAUUAAUGCCACAAAUGGUGGCAUGCUUUAAGGCAUCAUUGGCCCCUCCAUGUUGACCAUGAAAUGCCUAUAAACGAGGCAUAUUUGUGAGAGCAAAAUGUGAGAGAAUUGUGAGAGUGAAGUGACGAGAAGAAGAGAGAAAGAGGAGCUGCUGCCAUGGGCAGCAGCCCUGCUGCCAUAUGCAGCAGAGUGUGUGAGCUGGGAGUUGAGUGAUCCUCCUCCAUGUAUUUAUUGUAUCCUUUCUCUAUCUCUAAAUAAUAUGGACUCUCUCCCGUGGAUGUAGGUGAUUUGCCGAACCAUGUUAAAAUAUUGUGUCAGUGUGCUUACCCUCCAAUGAGCAACUAUCAGAACACCCCCGGUCCGCGCAUGGGGGAGCCAGAUUCCCCCAACACUUUUUACCAUUUGAAACCUCAUAUGAAAUGUCAUAUAUCUUUUUCAUGCAGAAAGGGAGAAGUAGAACUUUUAUGAUCAUAAUUUUAAUACAUCUUUUGCAGAGCUAUUUCAUGUGGGGCUCCUUUAUGUCUGGUGUGGCAGUUUCUACCAUGCGUACAUCGCAUAACCAAAACGGAGAAAAUGAAUUUGCUGAAAUGGAGUAUAUGAACAUAACAGUGGUGACUUCAAAUGAACCGUAUGGGAGAAAUGAUUGCCCGAACCCACUCUUUGAUGGCCGUAAAGUUCCGAGUUUAAUAUAAAGAAAGGUGGAGUGCACAGUGGUCAUGUUCAGACUGGUCUUCAAGAUCCAUUUUGCGUUGUGCAAAAUGGGAAAGGAAAAUGCAAGGCAAAUCGCUUUCUUUAGUGGAAACACGCCAGCCAACUUCUGUAUUUAAAAGAGCUACCUCUCAUUUCUUUUCAGCUCACCCACCCAACGGUUUGCUUGCUUUCUUCAAUCCAAUUGGCUUUGGCAUCGGGAAAAUCAUUUCCAGCUUGUUUCUUAAACUUUCAGACAAGCUCAAGUCCUUUGGUUUUCAUGAGAGUAAGGCUGACGCGUCUAUAUUUGUUUUAAAACAAAAACAACUAUUGUAUACAUUCUCGUAUACGUUGAUGAUAUCUUAAUUAAUAACGGGUUCAAGUUCAGAUGCAAUCCAUACUGUAAUUCAAUCUUUACAGAACAAAAUAGCUGAUGUAUAUGCCAACCGGUUACAGUCUCUCACUAUUUCUUAACAAUAACAAUAAGUAAAUUGAUACAGAAUCGCUCUGUAAAGGAAUCUCUUCAAUUUGUAUUUCAAGAAUGCAAUUGCAAAGAAUACAUCAAAUUGAUUUUCUCUUGUUCUGUUCCCCUUUUUAAAUACCUUACAACUAAGGAUGUAGUCUAAUACGUAAGUGAAACGUAAUACUAAUUUAACUAGGAACUAACAGCUAUUCUAGGAAAAUAAUAACUACAGCUAAUGAGUUCUAAUCAGGUUCUGUCAAGAUUCUUUGAUUUCCCCACGUUUCCGUAUCCUAGUAGGAUUUAUGCAUUACGGGGUCUCUUCUCAAGCCUCCUGAUUUGCAUCAAUUGCCGAAUCCCCUGAAGAACUUGACUCCGGCAAGUAACGAUGAACAUAUGCAGCAAAUAAUUCUGGGUGUAGUCGCUGAAGCUCCGUGCCUUUGAUCCAGGCUGAGUCUGAAAGGGAUUGAUGUCUCCAUUGAACUAAGAAUUUAUAAUAACCCCCGCGACGUGUAGAGACAAAUUGAUGAUCACUGAUGGAGGCAAUGUCCUCCUGUGGUGCACUGGUUGUAGGGACUUUAGGAAGGCAUGCUGGCAUGUCCUCUGCCUGUGACCUAUGAUCCUGAUCAUUUAUGUUGCCUUUAAACGCAGUGAUAUCCUCAAUGUUAAAAAUUGGGCUAAUACCAAAUUCUGAAGGUAAGUCGAUGACAUAAGCAUUGUUACCCAACUUUUUAGUGAUCUGAAAAGGUCCUGCACGUUGCACAUGCAGCUUGGUGAAACUUCCGGGAGGAAAGCGUUCUGGUUUUAGGCGAACCAACACCAUGUCACCGCUAUUAAAUUGUCUGUCUUUGCGUUUAAUAUUGGCAGCAACUGCAUAUGAGUCAGUACUGUGGGAUAAUCGUCUUUUAAUCUCCGCAUGAACAUCUUUCAUGUGUUCAGAAAAAUCAAGGCCAGCUUCACUUGGUCUGGGAGGCAACAGUAAUGGAGUGAGAUCCAUGGGAGUAUAGGGUCGUCUGCCAUAUACUGCUUUAAAAGGAGUGCAUCCUGUAGAUCUAUUCACAGAAUUAUUGAUAGCAAAUUCUGCAUGGGGGAGUAUGAGAUCCCAGCUGGUUGUAUGGUCAGCAAUGAGGCAGCGCAGUAAGUUUCCUAAGCUUCUGUUGACUUCGGUCUGACCGUCGGUUUAGGGGUGGAAUGCACUAGAAAACAUUAACUUUGUUCCCAUUUUUGUCCAUAAGGUCUUCCAAAAGUAGCUAACAAAUUUAACGUCUCUAUCGAAUACAAUAGAGAGUGGCACACCAUGUAGUUAGAUUACUUCUUGUAGGAAUAAGACUGCCACUUUGGAAGCAUCAAAGGUCUUGUUGCAAGGGAUGAAAUGAGCCAUUUUUUAGAAUCGAUCCACUACUACCAUAACUGAGUCAUGUUGCCGAACAGUCCUGGGUAAUCCUAGGACAAAAUCCAUGCUAAUGUGCCGCCAUGGUUGGUCAGGUGUUGGCAGGGGCGUGUAGAGUCCCGCUUGGUUCUUUGUACCUUUAUUUAGUUGACAAAUUCUGCACCGAUCAACCACUUUGUGUACAUCCUUAUGCAGUCGGGGCCAGUAGAACCGAUCAGCAGCCAAGGCAAAGGUUUUGUCAUAACCAAAAUGUCCAGCUAAGCCACCACCAUGAAGUUCUGUGAUGAUGAGCUCGCGGAGGGAACCUCUGGGAAUGCAUAGUCUAGUACCAAAAUAUAAGUAUUCGUCCCUCAAGGAAUAAUUACCUCUUGUUAUAGUGAUUUUGGACUUUAAGUUGCUCCAUAUUGUGCCAAAAUCAUCAUCAUCCAUGUAAUGGUUUGAAUCAACGCAUAAAAUUCCAUAUCGUACGCUGAAUAUCUCCGACGGGUGUCAUUAAGCUUUUCGCUGUAGAAGGCAAUGGGAUGACCUUCCUGACUUAGAACUCCCCCGAUUCCUAUAUGUGAAGCGUCACAAGCCACCUCAAAGACUUUGGAAAAAUCCGGAAGUUUCAGAACUGGUGCAUGUCUUAGUUUAUUCUUAAUCUCGUCAAAAGCUCUGUUGGCUGCUGCUGUCCAAGUGAAGUUGCUGCUCUUUAAGCACUCAGUUAUUGGGGCCAUUAUGGUGCUGAAAUUACGAAUGAACCGCCGAUAAAACGUAGCUAGGCCGUGGAAGCUACGAACAUCAGAAAAGGUCCGAGGUGUUGGCCAAUUCUAAAUAGCUUGCACUUUAGUGGGGUCAACUUCUACUCCUUUAUUAGAAAUGAUAAAGCCUAAAAAUAGACUUUCUUCUUCAGGAAUGAGCAUUUGGCAUGAUUAAUAUAAAGUUGCUCUGCCUGUAAUGUUUUUAAUACUUGCUCCACAUGGGCUAGAUGAUCAUGUAAAUAGUUACUGAAUAUCAAGAUAUCGUCAAAAUACACAACAACACAUUUACCCAAGAAGGGUUUGAGGAUUUGCAUCAUAACACGCAUGAAAGUACUCGGUGCGUUGGUUAACCCGAAAGGCAUGACUAGCCAUUCGAAUAACCCCUCUUUGGUUUUGAAGGCUGUCUUCCAUUCGUCACCAGGACGAUUGCGAAUUUGAUGAUACCCACUAUGAAGAUCAAGCUUUGUAAAAAUAGAGGCGUCAUUUAGUAAGUCUAGCAUGUCGUCAAGCCGUGGAAUUGGGAAUCAAUAUUUAACUGUUAUUUUAUUAAUUGCCCGAUUGUUUACACACAUCCUCCAGCUCCCAUCUUUUUUUGGUGUAAGUAGUACUGGAACAGCGCAAGGGCUAAGGCUUUCAUGGAUAAAUCCCUUGUCUAGUAACUGUUGGAUCUGUUGAUUCAGCUCCUCAUUCUCUGCAGGGCUCAUUCUGUAAUGAGAUAGGUUGGGUAAAGAGGAACCUGGGAUUAAAUCAAUUACAUGUUGUACAUCCCGCAUUGGUGGCAGUUGGUUUGGCAUUUCAGAGGGCAUGAUAUCUUGGAAUCUGUCAAGUAUUACUGCCAGCUCUUUAGGUACGACACCAUCAUCUUGUUUUACCUCCCGUCUCACCACAAACAACAACAUUUGCUCCCCACUUACAGCUUGAGAAAACUGAUGCAUGUUCAGUACUGGUACCUUUUUGUUGGUAGCUUCAAAUUCUGCAAUCGGUAAUGGAACUAGGACCAACUUCUUGCCUUUAAAAUAGAAGGAGUAGGUGUUGGUAUAGCCAUUAUAGGAGACUCUACGGUCGUACAGCCAUGGUCGUCCCAAUAACAUGUGGCAGACGGUCAUCGGGAUGAUAUCGCACCAUGCUUCAUCUACAUACUCUUGUCCUAAUGAAAACUGCACUAGACAUCGAUGUUUCACUGAAACUGAGUUAUGUUCAUUGACCCAGCUGAUUCGAUAAGGAGAGGGGUGUGUUUCGAUCUUCAGAUGUAAUCGCUCUACUGCUAUCUCAGAGAUCACAUUCAUACCACUGCCAUUAUCAAUGAUCACAUUCAGUGAUCUGUCUCCAUGUUCUAGUCGGGUGUGGAAAAUGUUGGUGCGCAACCAUUCCUGAUUGGCUUUGAGUUCCUUCUUGUUUCCUGUUAAAAUUCUGUGAAUAACGCAGCUUGGCAGUUGUGAGGCAUCUAGGUGUUCCUCCUCCUCAGCUGUAUCUUCAUCAGCUUCUCCUCCUGCAGUAUCCUCCAUUACUGUUAAUUCCUUCUCACAUAUAAAAGCAAGUUUUUUUCCUCUAGUGGGACACACCACAGCAUAGUGUCCAAACCCCUUGCAUUUGUAGCAUUGUGGACCAUCAUUCGUUCUGUCUGUUUUUCCUUUCUGUUCUCCUAGCAUUGAGCCCCCUGGUUUGUCCUGUGAUGAUUGUUGUCUUUGAACAGAAAAACUUGUCGUGUGCCCUGAUUUCAUAUCCAUCGGCGUGGUUUUCUUCCCUAUUGCAAUUCCUAUCUGCUUCUUAAUUCGUAACGCUAGUUGGUAUGCUUCCUCCACCGUGAUUAAUCGUGCUAUCAACAUUUCUUUAUAUAGUUCACCACGUAAUCCAUUGCGAUACCGGGCCAAUGUUUGUUGAUCGAUCUCUACAAUCUUGCUGCGGACGGUGAGUUCAUGGAAUUUGUUUGUAUAUUGUUCCACUAUCAAGGUCCCCUGUCUUAGUUGCAGCAUUUCUUCAAACAUCAUCUGCUCAUAGUCGAUGGGCAGGUAUUUUUCCUUUAGCCGUUCCUUCAUUUCUUCCUAGUGUGAAAUAGGUGGGCGUUGUGUUCGCCGCAAUUGUUCUUCCACGCUUCCCCACCAGACACGAGCAUAUCCCUUCAAUUUCAUCCUGAUAUAUCGAACCUUUCGCUCUUCUGACACAGCAAACCAAUCAAAAUAGUCUUCAAUGGCGGUUAGCCAAUCUUCAAAAGCAUGUGGUUCCAGUUUGCCAUAAAAAUCAGGCACAUCCACCUUCAUUCGCUUAGUGAGUUCAUCGAUGGGUUGAUUUGCCAGCCCUCGCCUGUCACGGUGUCGUGGAAGUUCCUCUCUGUGAUGUUGUAAUCGGUGGUGCUGGGGUUCAACGUCUCUAUACUCAGCAUCCAGGUUUUCCCCUAGUGUUUCCUCACGAAGUUGUCCACGCCCCCUUCUAUUAGGAGACCUUGCUCUACGUUCAUCCACAGCGUCUAAUCGAUUAGAAAGUUGUUCUAACACAGUGGUGAUAUAGAUGAUUUGUUGUUGUAAGUCUGCAUGUUUGCAUGGGGGAUUAUUAGGGACAUGAGUGUUUGACAUUGGGUAGGAGUUACCACUUCGGGUUACAGUCAUGAACCGCUCUGAUACCAAAUUGAUAUAUAUGCCUACCGGUUACAGUCUCUCACUGUUUCUUAACAAUAACAAUAAGUAAAUUGAUACAGAAUCGCUCUGUAGAGGAAUCUCUCCAAUUUGUAUUUCAAGAAUACAAUUGCAAAGAAUACAUCAAAUUGAUUUUCUCUUUUUGUGUUCCCCUCUUUAAAUACCUUACAGCUAAGGAUGUAGUCUAAUACGUAAGUGAAACGUAAUACUAAUUUAACUAGGAACUAACAGCUAUUCUAGGAAAAUAAUAACUACAGCUAAUGAGUUCUAAUCAGGUUCUGUCAAGAUUCUUUGAUUUCCCCACAUUUCCGUAUCCUAGUAGGAUUUAUGCAUUACGGGGUCUCUUCUCAAGCCUCCUAAUUUGCAUCAAUAGCUGUCAACGAUUUAGGUACUCUAAAUUACUCCAUUGACGUAGAGAGGCACUUCGAUGCCUAGAGGGUAUUUAUUUAACUCAACAAAAGUAUAUUAUUGAUUUACUUAAACGAAGUAACAUGGACACAGCCAAACUUUGCAACAGUCCCAUGACUUCGAAUAAUUGUCAUCUUAAUUCACAGAUGGAAGUCCUUUUGAGGAUAUCAGCCUCUACCAAAAUAUUGUCGGAAGCAUGCAAUAUCUUGCAUUUACACGACCUGAUUUGGCCUUUGAUGUACACAAAGUCAACAAAUUUAUGCAUGAACCUCAUGAUCCCCAUUGGCUUGUUGGCAAGCGCAUAUUGCGCUACCUCAAACAUUCAGUUGCAACAGGUUUGUUCAUCACAAAAACUGGUGAUUUCAGGCAACGAGCAUAUUCAGAUUCAGACUGGGCAACUAAUAGAGAUGAUUGGCGUUCAGUUGGUGCAUAUAUACUACAUCCACAUAAGUGCCAACUUGAUCUCUUGGAGUUGCAAACAACAACCUAUAGUCGCUAGAAGUAGAAUACAAAGCAACAAUAGCAAAUGCAGCUGCUGAACUUACUUGGAUCAAAUCAAUACUAUCUGAACUCGGUCUACCUCUAACACAAACUCCGACUCUGUGGUGUGAUAAUAUUGGAGUAACCUAUCUCAUCUCCAAUCCUUUAUUUCAUGCAAGAACAAAACACAUCAAAAUAGAUUUUCACUUUGUUUGAGAUCAAGUUUGCAACAAAUAACUAGGGGUUCAAUUCAUUUCAAACAAAAACCAGUUAGCAGAUGCACUUACCAAGUCAUUACCGCCAAUUAGAUUUAAACAAGUCCAACGCAAUUUGAAUGUCCAUGAUCUACCCUCCAGAUUGAGGGGGGGUGUGUGUGGAGAGUCAAGUUGAUAUUACUGAAAUCAAGGGAGAUCAUAUAUACCCAGAAGACAAGAGAAAUCUUAGCAGUAAAUCAAGAGCCUAAUAAUAAAGAAGAUAAGAUCUUUAGCUGUAACAAGUUCUUAAAAUUGUAUACUUUAAAAUAGGAAUCAAUUGUAUUUAUAGUGAUACACACACAGACACACAAGUGUACAAGUUGAAAGCAUUGAGAUUACUAUCAAAUACCCUGUAUCUAAAGCUUUUCUUAUAUCAUUGAACCAAUAAUUCAUGCAAAAAUAACUCAUCAUCUUUUGUACUUAAUACAUAGAUAGAAAACAAAAGGUAGCAUAUACAGGGAACCAAUGGAAAUACUUUUACAAAUUUAGUGCUUUCUUAUGUUUGUAAACUGGUACUUUUUAUUUUAUUAAGAUGCGAUCAAAAUUGAAAUUUUUUCUCAUAUUAGCACAGUGGACGAACUUAUUUUUCAAACUAGCAUAGUUGAAAAAAUGAUCCUCACUCUAGCAUAAAAACAAUAACCGCGCAUGUAGUAUAUAUACAACUUAUAAGUUGUGCAUUUACUAAAUGCGUAACAAUUGUAUGUAGUAAAUAUGUCACCUAUAGGUCACGCAUGUAGCAUAUGCAUGACCACCCGGUUAAUUAUUUUGAAGAUAGUUUCCCAUUUCUUUUCUUCUCCCCUUACUUCUUUCUUCUCUGCUUCUCCCUCCUCCAUAUGACACUCUCAACUCAUGCUAGAUGAUCGCUCUUCACCAUAAAAGACUAUAUUUCUCCCUUUCCCAUGACAAACCUCACAUUUCUCUCUCUCUUUCAACUGUUUGUUCUUUCUCUAGCCAUCCACCCAGGCAACAACCAAUCUCUCUUCACUGUCACUGCCACCACCACCACUACCACCUAUAAGCUCCCUAUUUAACUAAUUUAAGGUAUAUUCACCUUCCCCUUUAUUAUCUUGUUAUUUUACUUACUUGGCUAAUUUGUGAAUUUUUUAGGAUAAAGGUUUUAGAGUUUAGGUUAGGGUUUUUGUUGAUUUUUCCUAAUUGAAUUAUAAUUUGAGAUUAAUUUGAUAUAAAAUUAGUUAAGAAAGUGUAUACAUUUUCUUAUUUAGUAAGAAAAAUCGAUGAAUUAUGUUGUGUUGAUUAUAUUAGUGUUAAGGUUUUAGGGUUUAAUUUAUGAUUUUUGUUAAUUUUGAAUUUUUUAAUGUAACUUGAAUUAUUUGCUAUAUUGACAAAUUAACAUUGUAUUUUGUUGUGAUUUUCACAUAACAUAUCUUAUAUAGUGGGAAUUUUAUGUUAUUAUGGUGGUAAAAUCAUCGAUAGCAAUAAUGGUAUCUUUACCACAGAGGAAGUACCGAGUUAUGUAGCUUGAGAUUAGAUAGUUUAUUUGAUGGAUUUAGAAAUUUAGUGUUGGGUGGAAUCUAGUCAAAUUUAAUGUUGGUAUUACUUGGAGGAUAUUGGGUGGAGGCCAUCUGAAUCAUUAUGUUGGUGUGCUCAUUACUAGUGAUAUGAGUUUUAAUACAAUGAUUGGGUUGAUCAUCAUAAAUGGAUUGCAAAUAUUAGAGCUCUUCUUGAGUAGAAAACCUAAAGUAGAAAACUCUUCAAAUUUAGAGUUGACUCGGGUCCUAAGUUACAAUCAAAGAACUUCAAAAUUAUCACAUGCAGUAGGUCCAUGUAAGACAAUUAGUGAUGCAAUGAACCUAACAUCGGUUCAAGAAAUGGUGUAUAUGGAACCUUGGUUAGAUAUGGUAAUAACUCCAUAUUGUUAUGAUGAAGUUGAACCGAGUGAUCAGAAAGAUAAUUUUCAUGUCAAUGAUAUAGUUGAGGAUGAUGAGCAAGGUGAGCCAAUAAACCAAACAAUAAGACCCCUUUUUCCUAAAUUUAAAUAUGUUAGUGGGUCUGCUCAUAUGAGUCAUAUGAAUUCAUGUUUAAAUACUAAGUUGCGGGUUAGACAAAUAUUUUGAACUAAGACUGAUUUAAUUAAUGUAGUUAAAUGGUGACAUGUAAAAAAUUCACUUUAAUAUAAAGCACAACGUUUAACCAUAACUUAUAAGUAUAACUUAUAAGUAGUUAUAGCGUAAGCAUGAACCAUCAUGUCAAUGAUAUUUGCGUGGGAAAUAUCAAAAAAAAUCUAAUUCAUUUGAUAUUUCAAAAUUGAAAGAUUCUCACACAUGACACAAUCUAAUGGUUAUGAGAGCCUACCAUUAUAUUGACUCUUAUUUUGUUGCUACUAUGAUGUUGACCUUUUUCAAACCUAAAAUAAGUAUUAAAAUUAUAACCAUUUAACUAUCCAUAAAGAUUAUUUGUAUGAUAUAUCGUAUAAAAAUUCUUGGUUAGCUAAACAAAAAUUAUUGGAGAGGUUACUUUGAUCACAUAAGGAGUUCUGACGGUAUUGAUAAGUAUUGACGACACUCACUUAUAUGGAAAGUACAAGGCAAAAAUCUUGAUUGGUUAUACUUUGGCUGAGAAAGAAAUGAACAAUAACUAGACAUGAUUUUUAGAUUUGAUUUGCUAACAUGUCACGGGUAGACGUACUAGAUUGUGUAUAAUUUCAUAUAAACAUACAGCAAUUAAGAAUGUUAUGUCAUAGAUAUGGACCCAACUAGAUAGGUAUCAUCGUUAUUGCUCUUGCCACUUUGUGAGUAACUUCAAAAAAAGAUUAAAAGAUGUGGCAUUGAAAAAACUAUUAGAUAAGAUGUGUUAAAAGCCUUCAAGACAUAAAUUUGAUACUAUGUAUAAUGAUAUGGUUGACAUGAAUGAUCAAAUCAAAGAAUGGCUUGAGAUUGAACCAAAAGAAAGAUAGACACUCUCAUAUGAUGGUGAUUAUCGUUAUGAAAAUAUGAUCACUAAUUUGUCAAAGAUUUUCAACAAUGUCUUUAAAACUAUUCGUGGCUUGCCUAUAAUAACUAUAGCGCAAAUUACCUUUUUUCGGACUAAUAAAUAUUUUGUUGAUCGAAUAGCUGCAAUUGAUAAUUGCAUUAGUCAUGGUGUAUUGUGGCCUUCGCAAGUGCUUGCUAAACUUAUUGUUGAUGCAUCAAAAUCAAGAUAACAUGUUGCGAGUAUAUUUAAUAUCCCAAAUGGUGUUUUCAAGUCAAGAUCCCCUAGUAAUUGGUAGUCAAAGAGAGGCUCAAUGAAAAGUUCAGUUUAAUCAAAGAAUAUAUACGUGUGGUAAAUGGUAGUUGUAUUAUCGACCAUGUUCACACUUUAUUGUAUGUUAUACAUUGUAACAUGUUGACUUUGAAAAAUUUAUUGACACUUUAUUUUCUAACACCAAUUACAAAAAUUCAUAUGGUUUUUAUUUCAAAUCGUUACCUUAUAUUCCAUUAUGGUUUGAUUAUACUAGGUCAUGAGUUGAAGGGUGUCCAACUAAACGGAGAGUUGAAAAGGGUCAAUGUAGAUCCACUCGUCUACCUAAUUAUACUAGUCAUAAUAGAAAAACAAUUCAAAAUGGACAGCGUAAAAGAAAAUUUUUGUUUUAAAUUGAUUUUUUAUUUCAUAUCUCUAUAUUAAGUAGUUUUUUUAUCCUUUUAUUCUAUAUCCUUUAACAUUUUUACAUGACUAUAUAUGAUGGUGCGAACUAGGAGAGGUGGAUUUAUUUCAAGAUGUCGUGGUAUACGAGAGGACAAGUUCUCAUUAUGUCCAGGUGUAAAUCCCGAGAUAAUCAAGGCUGGAUUAAAUUAAAGAAAUAAACUAAACUAAAAAGAAGUGGGGGCAAAACGAAUACAUUUAAAGAAAAUGGGGUCUAAAUACAAAUAAGAAUAAUUAUAGAGCAUAAAUACUACUCUUCUUACUAAAAACAAUUCUGCAACUAUCGUGAAGAAAGAAGAGAGGGAGUUUUGGUAUCUAUUUUUACAGAUCAAGAGAGAAACACCAAAUUUCAAGAACUCAUCCAAGAUUAAGGGUUAUAGGUAAAAAUAAACACUAGUAGGCAAGGGAUUAAUAAGAAAACAAUUGAACAAGAAGAGAAUAGGGGAGGGUCGGCUGUCAUUAGAAAGAAAAGGAGGGAUCGAGACCUUAAUUCGUAUCAGGUAAGAUAUUCUAAACAUGGUCUUAUGAGUUGUUUUAAAGUCAAAUAUGAAUUGAUGCCUGGAUGUUAAAUUAUAGAUUUGAGUUCUAUAACUCCAGAUAUAGUUAAAAAUCUGAGGAGAGGUCAGACAGUAACCGUUCAAAAACAGACAGUAACAGUUGGACAGUAACAGUCCAAGUGUUUGUUGAUGAGCCAUUUUGACUAUCUUAGAGGCAGAACUAGGUUCUCCUUAAUCAUAGAACUUGUAGCCUCAUGUCUUAGCUUCAUAAUGACACAAAUUUUGCUUGAAUCGGAGUUCUAUAACUCCAGAUAUAGUUAAAAAUCUGAGGAGAAGUCAGACAGUAACAGUUCAAAAAUGGACAAUAACAGUCUAAGUGUUUGUUGAUGAGCGAUUUUGACUAUCUUAGAGGCAAAACUGGGUUCUCCUCAAAAAUAGAACUUGUAGCCCCAUGUCUUAACUUUCCAACGACAUAAAUUUUGCUUGAAUAGGAGUUCUAUAACUCCAGAUAUAGUUAAACAUCUGAAAAGAGGUCAGACAGUAACAGUUCAAAAAGGGACAGUAACAGUCCAAAUGUGUGUUAAUGAGCGAUUUUGACUAUCUUAGAGGCAGAACUGGGUUCUCCUUAAAUCAUAGAACUUGUAGCCUCAUGUCUUAGCUUUCCAACAUCAUAAAUUUUGCUUAAAUUGAAGUUCUAUAACUCCAGAUAUAGUUAAAAAAUUGAGGAGAGGUCAGACAGUAACAGUUCAAAAACGGACAGUAACAGUCCAAGUGUUUGUUGAUGAGCGAUUUUGACUAUCUUAAAGGUAGAACUGAGUUCUCUUUAAAUCAUAAAACUUGUAGCCUCGUGUCUUAGCUUUUCAACGACAUAAAUUUCACUUGAAUAGGAGUUCUAUAACUCCAGAUAUAGCUAAAAGUCUGAGGAGAGGUCAGACAGUAACAGUUCAAAAACGGACAGUAACAGUUGGACAGUAACAGUCCAAGUAUUUGUUGAUGAGCAAUUUUGACUAUCUUAGAGGCAGAACUGGGUUCUCCUUAAAUCAUAGAACUUGUAGCCUCAUGUCUUAGCUUUCCAACGACAUAAAUUUCACUUGAAUCGGAGUUCUAUAACUCCAGAUAUAGUUAAAAAUCUAAGGAGAUGUUAGACAGUAACAGUUCAAAAACAAGGCUGCAACAGUUGGAUAGUGACAGUCUAAAUAUAAAGAAAGGAAUGAUAACUAGGAUUGGACAAAGAACGAUAAUAAUAAUGAGUGAAAUGAGAAAAACAUAAAGUACUAAGAAAUGACUGAAAGAAAGACUUAUUGGUUGUUGAUAUGGUUAUUAUAAAACAUAUCCUUGAGUGAGGAAAAUUUAUGAGAUAAAUCUGUGAUUUGCAGGAGAGACCACAGGCGUGGUGCAACAGCAGUAGUAGGGGAGCACGAGUAGAGCUUCUAUUGCAGGUAGGUGAAUCACACCUUUACCUUCUAUGUAAAUUCCAUGUUUUAAUAUAUAUUACUGAUGUGAAGUGUGAAUUACCGAAUGUAUGAGUACUCAAGGGGAAAGGUUGUUGUGUGAAUUGCUAAAUGAUGAAAUUAUCACUGACAAAUAAAAUAUGAGAAGUGUGAUUUGAGGCGUAAACUAGCAUACAUUUAGUGUAUGUUAGGAUCCCGGGUAAGGGGAUCGCCAUGGUUGGACUAGCAUAUAUUUAGUGUAUGUUAGGAUCCCGGGUAAGGGGAUCGCCAUGUUUUCAGCUAGCAUACAUUCAGUGUAUGUUAGGAUCCCAGGUAAGGGGAUCGCUAUGUUUCGGCUAGCAUACAUUCAAUGUAUGUUAGGAUCCCUGGUAAGGGGAUCACCACGUUUCGGCUAGCAUACAUUCAGUGUAUGUUAGGAUCUCGGGUAAGGGGAUCACCCUGCAUCGACUCCUAUGGGAUGAUGAUGAUGAUACUAGUGAAAGGGGUAUCGAAAAUGGGUUAAACGAAGAUAAUCAUGCUUGAUCUUAUAAAGUCUAGAAUGGAGGUUAAUAGUGAAAGAGGGAACAGUUAUUAAUAGUUUGUAUACGGAAGAGAUUCUAAUGAAAACCAGAAAGGAGAAGAACAAAAUAUGAAUGCAUGUUACCCUUUUAAAAUUGCUUGAUAUUCAUGUUGUUAUUUUUAUGUGAUAAUCACCUUUCAAUAAUAUAUAUUUUGUUUCAGGAACAUCACAUGCACGACAGGAGUAGAUCCUAGCUUAUGUUUCCCUUCUUGUAUUUAGGUUAUAGGGGGUAUACCCUUAUAUUUUGUAAACAUGAAAAUGUUUGUAUAACUUAAUUUGUAUAAAUAAUUUUUAAAAUUGAUUGAAUGAACUUAAUCUCUGUAGCUCAUGUAAACCAUCUUUCAUGUCUAAGUAUUUACUUUUAUUUUCAUCCAUAAUGAUAUUUUGUUAUAUAAUGUAUAUCAUGAAUAUCGUGGAUAAUAAGUGUGAGAAUAUUGUGGAAAUUGAAACCCAAGACAAUUGGGACGGGAUUAAGUUAUGAAAUGCGAGUUAUUGAAAGUGUAAACAGGUUACAUAUCAAUAACUUGGGACCUUCCGGUUUAGGGGGGACUCCGUCGAAAUUUCGGUAAAUUUUAAUUUGAAAACCAUGAAUAUAUAUAUAUAUAUAUAUAUAUAUAUAUAUAUAUAUAUAUAAGAAAAAAAAAUUCCUCUGUUUUCGGUUGACAUGAGAGUGUUGUUUUUUAUCCCCAAGUAGGGGAUGUAGGGGAUGUUACACCAGGUCUUGAUGAUUUCUCAGUCUUGCAAUUGCAGUACAAGCAUCAAUCAGAGGAUAUUUGGGCUUGACGAGUAAGUUAAUUUUUUAUAUAUAACAUGGUUAUAUGAUAAAUUGUAAAUGUUGUUAAUACUUAUGUUUAUAUUUUUUUUAAUGAAAUUCUCAGGGUGAUCCGGUUAAACCUCAUCAUUACGCCCCUAUAGACCUAGAUGACCAUGUUUGUUCUUAUAUCACGAUUUGAUUUCAGCAUUAGUAGAGAGGUGGAGGCGUGAGACUCACAUAUUCUAUUUUCAUGUUGGAGAGAUGACACCAAUAUUACAAGAUGUUGUUGUCAUACCAGUCAACCUUCUAAUAGAUGGAACUCCUGUUGCAAGCCUUACAGCUUUCAACAAAGAUGAUUUAUGUCUUUGUCUAUUAGGACAGGUGCCACCUUAUGAGGGAUAUAAAGGGGAUUAUAUUAGGUUGACAUGGUUGAAUGAGAGUUUUAAGACCCCACCAAAGGGUGCUACAAAGAUUGUAUUGUAUUAUUAUGCUAGAGCAUAAAUAAUGCAUAUGUUUGGGGCCAAUCUUCACCAAUUUGACAGACAAUGUAGUUCCAUGCUACUUUCUUCCACUGCUAGAAAACUUUGUUGUCAUUCAUAACUAUAGUUGGGCUCGAUGAUGCUUGCAUAUCCAUAUCAUUAGCUUUGCCAUGUAUGCAUGUCAUACAAGAAAAACAUCGGCUUAUGUUUAUUAUUUCUAUAGGUAUAAUUUGAUAUUAUAUUCUAUUAAAUAUUUUUAAUUUAAGUAUUUAUUCAUUUCUUUAUUAUGAAUAUGAACUUAUGGUCAUGAGAGUAUCUUCACAUUGAUCAUCCUAAUGUUUGGAAAAAUCAGAUGCUCGACACUGUUACGAGAAUACGACUCUUAAUUGGAGCUUAAUAAUAAUAACUAUGAACACAAUUAAAUUUAAAUUUUCUAUGAAAAAAUGUCUAACUUAGCUAUUUAACAUGUUGGUUUGGUUAGGGAGAGGUCUAGGCGUUUUACACAAAAUCUCGCUCAUGUUCACGAGUUCUAUCAGGACAAGUUGGAUUCACAUGAGCCUCACCAUAUAUGUAUGAACUCAAUUAUUCAUUUUUUUUAUUUAACUUUAUUUUUUGGUGUGAGUGUUUUUAAUAUAUAUGCUUUAUGGUUUCAUAAGUGAUAAAGACAUUGUACAAUGAUGAUUUGAUUGGAAGAGCAUCUUCAUUAUGCAUGAAGGGAAGUGAUUUAUGGUUAGUGGUUCAUAUGCACUAUUUGUUAUAGUUGAGGUGCAUUGCCCUGAUCGGGUAAUGCGUGAGUUUGGAUUGCAUCAACACAUAUCUGAUGAUGUUGACACACUUGAUGACUUUCAUGUUAUUAAUCGUAGAGGUAAAGAGGAAGAUGAUUGAUCGGUGAUGAUAAAGUUUAGAGUUUAGGUUUUUUUUUAAUUGUUCUUGUUAUUCUUCUCUCUCGGAGGAAUGCCUUAUAUAGGCAUAUAUAUGGCGGUUUACAAGUUUCCUGUUCUACAAGGAAUAUAUUUCCUGUUCUGAAAGGAAUAUAUUAAUGUGUAUCCUUUUAGAACUCUUAUGGAAUAUCUACUAGAACUCUUAUUCUCUAAUUCAGCUAAUUACAUGUUAACACUUCCCCUCAAGUUGGUGCGAAGAUAUCUUCUAAGCCUAACUUCUCUAGAACCUUAUGAAGAGCUAACGCAGGGAUUGCAUGUGUUAGAAUAUCUGCUAGCUACUCACUUGAUCGAACGAAAUGGAUGUCCACUAACUUCAGAAGUAACUUUUCCUUGAUGAAGUGUCGAUCUACCUCAAUGUGUUUAGUUCGAUCAUGUUGGACCGGAUUAUUAGCUAUCUCUCGUGCUGCCUGAUUGUCGCAGUAUAGUAACAUAGGUUCUUUUGGUUCAAAACCUACUUCGGUGAGUAGAGUCCUAAGCCAUAACAGUUCACAUAUUUCAUGUACCAUCCCUCUAUAUUCUGCCUCUGCUGAGGAUCUCGCUGUCACGUUUUGUUUUUUGCUUCUCCAUGUGACAAGGUUUCAUGCAACAAAUGUAAAAUAGCCAGAGGUGGAUCUUCUGUCAGUGAGAUUUCCUGCCCAAUCUGCAUCAGUAAAUCCCUUCACUUCCAUAUGCCCAUAUCUUUUAAAUGUCAGUCCUUUUCCUGGGACCCCUUUUAGGUAACUCAGAAUCCUCAUUACGGCUGUCAUAUGGUCUUCACUUAGAGCAUGCAUAAACUGACUUACCACACUAACAGCAUAGGCAAUGUCGGGGCGUGUGUGAGACAAAUAAAUUAAUCUCCCUACCAAUCGCUGGUAUCUUUCCUUGUUUGUUGGUACCUGAUCUAGGUAAAUGGCCAAAUGAUGAUUCUGAACAAUAAGAGACUCUACUGGUUUGCAUUCUAGCAUACCAGUUUCAGAUAAUAGAUCCAGUAUAUACUUUCGUUGUGACAGGUAUAUACCAUUUUUAGUCUUUGCAACUUCAAUCCCUAAAAAAUAUUUCAGUCCUCCUAAAUCUUUCAUUUCAAAUUCAGUGGACAAACAUUCUUGUAGCCUUUCUAUUUCGUCUGCGUCAUCACCAGUUACAAUCAUAUCAUCCACAUAAAUAAUGAGCAGUGUAACUCUCUCAUUCUUGUGUUUGAUGAAUAAAGUGUGAUCAGAGUUACCUUGGUGAUAACCAAUUCGUUUCAUAGCUUCUGUGAACCUUCCAAACCAUGCUCUUGGCGAUUGUUUCAAGCCAAACAAUGAUUUUCAUAAUCUACACAUUUUUUCGCUAUAUUGUGGACAGUUAAACCUAGGUGGAAGCUGCAUAUAAACUUCUUCUUCCAAAUCCCCAUGGAGGAAUGCGUUCUUCACAUCAAAUUGCUUCAAGGGCUAACCGAAAUUUGCUGCUAAAGAUAAUAAGACUCUAAUGGUGUUCAUCUUUGCAACUGGGGCAAAAGUUUCCUGAUAGUCGAUGCCAAAUGAUUGCGUGUAUCCCUUUGUUACUAACCUUGCUUUGUACCGAUCAAUUGUCCCAUCUGCUCUGUGUUUGGUUGAAUAUCCAUUUGCACCCUACUAGUUUUUUUCCUAAAGGGAGUUAUACAAUGCUUCAUGUACCGUUUCUUUGUAAUGCAUCCAUUUCAGCCUCCAUUGCUGCUACCCAUUUCGGGUUCUUUAAGGCUUCCUCAACAUUUGUAGGUAUUUUUAUAUUCUUCAUCUCAUUUACAAAGGCUUGAUGUUGUGGUGGCAGUCUAUGUGUAGAGACAUACUGUGUGAUGACAUAUCUUGCUUUGCCAUUUGGAGAGUAUCUGUCGGGUGGUUUCCCACCGUUCUGUCUAGGAGGCAGAUAAUAAUUUGGAGCAGAUAAUGACAUGGAAGAGGAAGGGCUUGUAGUGUUACUUACCUCAUGAAUAUCUGGUCGAUCUUGGACGUGGAUUUGUGGAGAGGAAGGGGCUACUUCAAUCUGUUUGUCUUACUAUUCUAGCGUGUUUUUGUCCCUUGCACUCCUAAUUAUCUGUGAAAUGGACUCCCCUGACUCCAUUCCUUCCCCUGAACUAGAUCCUUCUUUUUCCCCUGAACCAGAGUCUUCCUCUGGAUCAGACUCCCGUGAACCUGAUUCUCCCCGUGGACUAGUCUGUUCAGAUAGUUGGGGCAGAUCAAUCCAGUUAUAGGCAUCUUGUUGCAGCUGCUCCCCCUGAGGACUAGAGGUGGAUUGAUCUAGACCGAAAAAAUACUCUGUUUCGGAGAAAGUGACAUCCAUGCUGACAUACAUGUGGUGAGCUGAAGGAUGGUAACAACGGUAGCCUUUUUGGUGAGGAUUGAAGCCAAAAAACACGCAGCGCACUGCACAUGGAUCCAGUUUUGUGCGCUGAGAUUUCUACAGGUGAACAUAGGCGACACACCCAAAAACUCGAGGUUCUAGAUAUAGGAAGGAUGGAAUCUGAACAUGUUGAGUUAGAGUUUGUAGAGGAGUUCUGAAGGAGAGGACUUGUGAUGGCAUUCGGUUCAUGAGGUACACUGCAUAGGUCACGGCUUCCACCAAAUAAUGUUGAGGUAUAUGGGCACCGAUAAGAAGAGCUCUAGUAGUUUCAAGGAUAUGCCUAUUUUUGCGUUCUGCCACACCAUUUUGUUGUGGAGUACCUGGACAAAUAGUUUCAUGAAGAAUACCAUUGUCUUGAAAGAAUUUCAAGAGCUUAGAGUUAAGGUAUUCUCCGCCAUUUUCUGAUCGAAUAACUUUCACGGGGAGGGAGAACUGAGUGCGAACCAUGUGAUAAAAAUUAGGAGUAUAUUGCACACAUCACUCUUGUGCCGCAUGGUAUAUAACCAAGUCAUUCUGGUGCAGUCAUCGACAAAUAUAAUAAACCACUGAAUCCCAGAUUGAGUAGUAAUUGGGGCAGGUCCCCAAACAUCAGAGUGAAUUAAUUCAAAUGGCUUUAUGCUUUUAGUCAGGCUUAACGGAUACGAAGUACGGUGGCUUUUGGCCAAGAUGCAAACAUUACAUUUAAGAGAAGAACUGAGAUCCAAAAUGUCAUUAAAUAGGGAUGGAAAUAAUUUUUUUAAGUAGCCAAAGGAUGUGUGACCCAGCCGAUGAUGCCACAAUCAAAUAUUCUUGGAGUCAUGAACAUUGCGACUCUGAACUUGAUGGACGUGACCUAACACAACAUCAUCCGCAUAGUAAAGCCCCUUCCUCUUAGUAUCAUGUCUAAUGAUCGCUUGAGUCCGGAUAUCCUGAAGUAAGCAAAAAGUGGGAAACAUUAAGACAAUGCAAUCCAAUUCUUCUGUAAUUUGACUAAUUGAUAAUAAGUGAUUUGAAAGUGCAGGAACAAGUAGACAAUUAUGUAAUGAAAGGUAAGGAGUGAGAGCAAUUGAUCCUGCUCCAAUAACUGGGGUAAACUCCCCAUUAGCUGUCAGGACUUUUUCCUUAGAUCGGGAAGUCAUGUACUGAAAUAAUGAUUUAUUGUAAGUCAUAUGGUCUGUGGCACCCGAGUCAAUGAUCCAACUUGUAUCUUGAACUGUGGAUGUAGAAAACAUCAUUCCAGUGUUUUCUGAGGUUGGAAGGGAGUCAGCUGUAUUGGCUAAAGAGAGUAUUUCACCCGGUUUAAUAUGGUCUCUUUGACAUGUUGCAAUAGCAGCAACACUAAAAGGAAUCUCCACCGUAUUAGCUAAUUUUGCUUGGCAUGGACAUUUAUUGUUGCGUGCUUUACUCUGCUUCCGUUUUUCUAAGAACCAUUCGGGAUAGCCAUGAAUUUCAAAAUAGGUGUCUCUGGUAUGGCGACUUCCAUUACAAUGACUGUAGCACAAUUUAUCCUUUUCUGCUUCCUCAACAGCUCUAAGGUUGCGAAAGUUAGAGGAGGCGGUGGAUUUGAAAAUCAUUGCCAUGAAAGUACCUUCACCCGUGUUCUUUGUGCCAAGCAUGGUGACUCGGUGUUGAGCCUCUCGUCGAACAGUAUUGAAGCACUCUUCAAUACGUGGAACAGAUUUCAUGCGAAGAAGAUCACUGCGUACUGGGUCGAAUACCUCAUCUAGUCCCACGAGAAAGUCAUAAAUUCGAUCUUUUUGGAUUUCUUCUUGUCUGGUUCUAAGGUCUGUAGUACACAUCAUCUUAAUUGGUCGUCGUUUAUCAAUUUCUUGUCAGACGCUGUUAAGUUCUGCGUAGUAUAAGUUAACUGGAUGUCCAUUAUGUUUUGUUCUUGUUGCCUUGCAGCGUAACUCAUAAAAUUGAGACUCAUCCGCCCCAUCAUAGAAGGUUUGAGUUACACUGUCCCAGAUUUCCUUGGCUGAUGAAAGGUGUAUAAAUAAGCCGAUGAGAUGAGGCUCCAUGGUUUUCAGCAGCCAUCCUCGCACCACCGUAUCUUCAAUGCACCAUCUUGAGUAACCGGGAUUUCCUUCUUCCAUUCUAGCGUUUUGUCCAUUUAAGUAGCCAAGUUUGUUCAAUCCAGCAGCAUGAAGCUCAAUCAUUCGUGACCAGAUUUUGAAGUUUGUCUCAUUUAAUUUGAAUCCAAAGGGUAAGUUGUUUAGGUUGGGUGAUUCAACAGAGACUAGAGUAUGGUUUAUAGGAAUUAUAGAGGUAUUUGUAUCAUCCAUGGUCGGUCCCUUGUUUCAAGACCAAUUCUGGAUGGGGCUGCAGAGAGAGAAGAAUUUUAAUUAUGCUCUUAUACCAUGAUAAAGUUUAGAGUUUAGGUUUUUAUGGCGGUUUACAGGUUUCCUGUUCUACAAGGAAUAUAUUUCCUGUUCUGAAAGGAAUACAUUAAUGUGUAUCCUUUCAGAACUUUUAUGGAAUAUCUACUAGAACUCUUAUUCUCUAAUUCAGCUAAUUACAUGGAAUAUCUACUAGAACUCUUAUUCUGUAAUUCAGCUAAUUACAUGUUAACAGGUGAUUCAUAUAUAAUAUGUCAAUUUGUGGCAUGCAAGGAGAGAUCUCUUAUUUACAGAGUAGUAUCCCUCUAUUUGAUGUCAAUUUAUGGAAGAGCAUUUUCAUUAUGCAUUAAGGGAAGUGAUUUAUGGCUAGUGGUCCCUAUACACUAUUUUGUCAUAGUUGAGGUGCAUUGCUCUGAUUGGGUAAUGCGUCAAUUUGGAUUGCAUCAUCACAUAUUUGAUGAUGUUGACACACUUGAUGACUUUCAUAUUGUUAAUCGUUGAAGUAAAGAGGAAGAUGAUUGGUUAUUUACAUAGUAGUAUCUUUUUAUUGAGUUAGAUCUAUACAUGACUUGGUACAUGAACAUAACAAGAUGAUUCAUAAUAUCACAAUGAAACACAUUACGAGACAUCUAUGUGACACUCCGCGUCAGCCGACACAUAAUCCGAAUAAUUAUGAUCCUCGUGCACCAAGAUAUAAUAGAUUAGUAUGCAUGGAUUAGUUUUUUUAACAUGUAAUAAAAUUCUUAUUUAUAUCUUAUAAAAUAAUACCUUCUAAUAUAUUAUGUGAAUUUUCCAAUGGGUGAAUUUUCUAAUACGCGAGGGUCAAAGAGUUACAACCGUAGUUCAUGAUGCUAUCAAUAAUAUUGUGCGUGACGCUUUCAGUACUUUGUUCUCAUCAUGUCGUUCUUCACUUAAUAUACGAGGGUUAGAGAGUUGUAGCCGCACUUCAAACACGACAUCAUGCACUUAUGCUACUUGCAUAAUCAUUGUUUUUAUGCUAGAGUAAAAAUUAUUUUCCCAACCAAUUUGGAAAAUAAAUCCUUAAUAAAUAAAUAAAAAGAUUUGAUUCAAAUUUACCCAUGCUUUAGUCUAUGUAACCCAUUUAGAUUAAAUUGCAUUAAAUUGUAAAAUUACAACUAAUUACAAUUUUGGGAAUGCUUAAGAUAUAAAAGACAUUAAUUUUUUACAAAAAAAAAACUAAUAUUUUCAAAAAUCUUAUAAUUGAAAUUGUUCAAAUGUUAUAGGAAUAAAAAAUAAUUUGUUUGAAAAAAACUCGUAAUUUUGAGAUAUUCAAGGAAUAAAAAAAAUUCAAGAUACUUGGAUAAAAAAAUUACAAAAUGUUUAGUAUCUUGUCAGGCAAAUGAUCUCGCGAUAGUUACGACGUCGACAUUAACAUCUGGAAAUUUGUAUGGGCAAGAAUCCAUGCCAUGAAAUCACAUCGGAUGUGGCUCUUGAAUUACAUUAAUGAGCAGACAAAACUAUUCACUGGUAGAUUGUCUGGCUUGAAGAAGAACAAAAUAUAAAAGAAAAGCAUGAAGAGCACAUAAUGAUAAGUGGAAGUUGAUGGUACUGUAUCUUCAUAAGAAUUCAUACAAGCACAACAUGAUUAGUUAAACAGAACCUCACAUAGGAAUUAACAUACAGUAAUCCUCCCAUUUUUACUAGCAGCUUUCCUCGUCUUGCAUUGCAUUAACAGGCUUAACAACUCAAUUCUUCCAUAGGAAUUGACCCACCAGCUGCCACAAUCUGUUGCUCCAGCUGCAACAGACACAACAUUGCAUUUGAAAAACAAGAACACGAUUAUAAAAGAAGUUCAGCAACUAUGUUUCUUUAAAUAAAUGAACAUUUCAUUGAGCAAGAGUAAGGUGACUGUACGCACCCUGAUUAGAGCUUCAAGCUUGCUCUUCACGAGACAGUAAUCCUGUUUCACUUGCUGCAGGCAUCUCUGGCACCUGCAAUCCAAGUAACCGAAUACAUAUAAUUGAAGCAUUAAAUAUCGCAUCACAUAAAAAUACAAAUCCUGGGGUUCAAUAGCUAACUGAGAAAAAAAGAAUUGGUAAGUACAUUGAUGCUAAAAAAUAAAACAAUCUGGAGAAUGAGGUAGAGGGAAAUAACUCACCCUUCAAUGUUCUGUUCCUCACAGAAGCUGCGGAAAGCGAUGCAGUCAUUUUUAACUCUCUGUGCACCUAUGCUGUAUAACACAAGAUCCAUUUUUUUCACCCAAAGUGAGCUAAAGAAUCCAUCUUUUCUCAAUCAAACAAAAAUGAGCUAAGAAGAAGGGGGGGAAAAUAAUUGUUAGCAUUCUGCGUCUAAUUUUCCAGGUCGUGUCUUAGAUCUGAACUGUUUUCUGUAAGGUUCAAUGCUCUCAUAUGGUUUUAAAGAGGACAUGAUACUUAAAUCAACGAUUGCUUGUUUUAGUUCUAUAGGAAGCAAACAUAUACCUGGAGCUGCUACCCUUCAACUGGUGAACAUGAGCAUCAACCUUUUUGAAGUCUACACUUUGCUGUUCUCUAUAAAAGAAGAGGUAAAACAAAACCCAUUUCGAAAAAAAAAAUUGUAGCAAUAUAAAAAUACAGUCAGCUAGCUAGAAUCAACCAUAACCAAAAAGGAAAGCUCAGAACUUUUAAUCAACAUCAAGCAGUUCAGAUGUUUGAGAGAGAGUGAGAGAGUCUCCUUACAAGGCAAAGGUGAGAUCACUCAGAAGCCUCUCAGAAUCUUCAAAGAAGAGAGAUACCACUUCAGCAACAAAAUCUGGGUUGCUCUCGUCUUGCAGAAGCUGAAGCUGUUGAAACUGGGCAUCCAGAAACCCCUUCAUCCACCCAAAAAAAGAAUAAGAAAACUGAAAAGGAAAACAAAAAACACAGAAUACAAAACAACAGGGAUAAGAACUAUAGAAAGUCCACAAUUUUUAUUUUAUUUUGCACUACCUCUCUAAACAAGGACUUGGUAUAUUCAACCCAUGCUCUCUGCAUCUGAACAACCUCCAUCCCUUUAAAACUCUCGGACAAAAAGAAAGAAGAAAAACACAGUGCUUUCUUAAGCUACGACAACUCAACACAGCUUUGUGGCUUAAAUUUACAGAUCUUGUGGGAGUUAUUGCACAAUAAAAGUGGGUAAUAAAUGGUAUAAAUGGUAUGGAAACGGAAAGCUUGAAAGGGAUUUAGUGAAUUUUAAAGUAGAAAUGGAAAGAUUUUUGUUUGCUUUUUGGCUAUCAGGUGAGUAAACGUUUUGAAUCCCUUCCUCUCUGGAUUUGUGCUAAUAAUGCUUGUGUUCUAUUUUGAGUCUUUUUUGCACCAAUAUAAUUAGCUCUUGUGCUGUACCAUCUUGUAAAGCAACCCCAACCUUAUUCCAUCUUCUUCAUCAUUCUAGCUUUACUUCUUGUGGUAUUCCUUUAAAAAUAAAUAAAUAAAUAAAUUAUUUCAAUUUGCAGUACAAACUAUUGGUUCUGGUUACAAGUUCACACAUGGGGUUUGACUGUGACUUCAACCAUGUAAUACAACACUAGUUUGAUUCCCCUGGUCUGCGGGGAGCUUCUUCUUUUUCUCUACACUUAAAAAAGUAUGGAUGUUAUUUUUAAUGUUUUUUUAUUAUAUAAAAAAAUUAGCUAUAAACUAAAAAGUUUGUAAAUGAAUUUAUAAAUAAUAAUAAACUUAUUAAUUUCAAUGAAAUAUUGAGUUGAGAUAUUAAGAUAUUUAUAACAUAUUUCCAGCUAAAUUUUUUUAUUUUUGUCAUGAUUAAGAUAUAACUGUAAAUCAAACAUAUAAAUUAAAAUUACAUCUCAAAUGAUAAUUCUUAAUCUUAAUAAUUAAAAUACAAUGCCUUACCUUUUCAUUUUAUUAUUUUAUCUCCUUUAGGUGAAUCUCCUUAACAUACAUUUAAUUUCCCAAAAAAAUAUAGUUGAAAAUAUUAAUAUCAACAUAACACUGUUGAUAUUUUUAACAUCUAUAAUCCGGGAAAAAAACAUAACACCACGUACUGUCGAUAUCAACAUAAUCCAUAUUGAUAUCAUUAUCCUAAAAGUUCUGGUAAGCUAAUCAAGUUCUUAGUAAUAUUGAUAUCUACACAACUCUGUUGAUAUCACUAACUUCCAUGAUCUAGAAAAAAAAAAAAACAAGCACCAAGUAAUGUUGAUAUCAACAUAAUUAAUGUCGAUAUCAACAUAAUUCAUAUUGAUAAUUCAUGUUGAUAUCAUUAGCUUUCAAGCUUCAAUGGGGUAAUCAAGUUCUCAUUAUGAUCGAUAUCAAUAUAAUCUCGUUGAUAUUAUUAACUUUCAUAAUCCAGAAGAAAACACAAACAUCAAGUAAUGCUUAUAUCAACAUAAUCCAUUUUGAUAUCAUUAGCCUCCAAGUUUCAGUAGACUAAACAAAUUAUCAUUAAUACAAAUAUCAACAUAACCUUGUUGAUACCAUUAACUUUUAUUUUUUUUUUGAAAGAAAACAUAAACACCAAGUAAUGUCGAUAACAACAUAAUCCAUAUGAUAUCAUUAGCCUCCAAGUUCCAGUAGGCUAAUAAAGUUUUCAUUAAUAUCGAUAUUAACAUAACCAUAUUGAUACCAUUAACUUUUAUGAUCUGGAAUAAAACACAAACACCAAAUAAUGUCGAUAUCAAUAGAAUCUAUGUUGAUAUAAUUAGCCUGCAAGUUCUAGAAGGCUAAUCAAGUUCCCAUUAGUACCAAUAUCAAUAUAAUCUUGUUAACAUCGUUAACUUCCAUGAUCCAUAAGAAAAAACAAACACCAAGUAAUGUCGAUAUCAACAUAAUUCAUAUUGUUAUCAUUAGCCUCUAAGUUCCGAUAGGCUAAUCAAGUUCUCAUUAAUACUAAUAUCAAUAUAAUCUUAUUAAUAUCAUUAACUUCCAUAAUUCCGAAGAAAACACAAGUAUCGAGUAAUGUUAAUAUCAACAUCAUCCAUGUUGAUAUUAUUACCCUCUAAGUGCUAAUCUAGUUUUUACUCAACAUAUUUUCCUUCUUUUCAUAAGGUUAAGUCUUGAUAUCAAUAAAAUUUUAUUACAUCAUUAGCCCCAGAAAACUUGAUGGCUAAUCAAGUCUUGUUUAUAAGUUUCCUUGAUAUACUUUUCUUUCCUGACAUGAUCGGUAAUAGUAAUAAUAAUAAUAAUACUAAUUCACACACACACACAGACAUUAAAUAUCAAUAAAAGUAGACAUUUAAUUCACUCUUUUUUGAAAAGUAUCAAGGACAACACGUUUUCACUGCUGUCAAUUUAAAUCUGUCACCUAAAUACAAAAUUGCCCAAAUUAUUAUGUACUUGGCAUUAUAUCGAUAACUUUUUCUUAAUUAUAAUUACUUUGCUUUAAAAACUGAUUAUAAAUCGAAUUAAGAGCUUCCACUUUUCUAGCUUUUACCACUUUGUUUUUAAGCAAAGUAAUUAAAAAUGUCAAAAAGUAUUUAUUAAAUAUUUUAAAAAUAGUUUUUUUAUUUUAAAAAUGAAAGGUGAUUUUUUAUAAAAGUAGGCUAAAAGUGUAUUAGAUUCUACUUCAAAAGAUGUUUUCUAUGAUGAAAGACUGCAUAUUAUAUUUUAUUUAAACAUAAAAUAACUUGAACUAUUAUAAAAUUAUAAAAACAUUUAUAGUGCAUUUUAUCCUAAUAUAUAUAUAUAUAUAUAUAUAUAUAUAUAUAUAUAUAUAUAGACAUGAAAUCAAAUUAAAUAUCAUAUAAAGAUUUUAUAAAAACUAAGCAUAUAUCCAAACUUAUAUAAAAAAUUGAAACACCUAGAGGUGAGCAAAAAAAACCAACAAACCGAUUAAACCAAGAAAACCAGAAAAAACCAAAAAAAUCGAACCAUGAAAAAAAACUGAUUAGAAUAUUUUAAAAAAAUUCAGUUCGGUUCGGUUUCGGUUUCGGUUUCAUAAGCCUAAAAUAAAAAAACUGAACCGAACCGAUUUAGUUAAGAAAUAAACCAAACCAGAAAAAACCCAUUAGAAAGUCUAAAAAAACCCCAAAAAACAAUAUAAUUUUCAGUUUUUAAUAUAAAAUAACCAAACCGAAUCGAAACCGGUUUGGUUUGGUUUCGGUUUUUUAUAUAUUUUAUAAAAUUUCAAUUUGGUUGUUUUUAUAGGUAAAAACCAAACCGAAUCGAAAAUGAUCACCGUAAACACCAUUCUAGCAUGUAUACUAAACAUAUAAUAUAUUAAAUUAAAAUUAAAAUUAUAUAGGGUACUUACUUGUUGAAAAACUUAAAAUAUGAUUAAGUUAUAUUGUUGUCUAGGAUUAAUAUUUUAUUUUUAAAGUUUUAUUGCUCCUCACUUGGUAUAAAUAGGAUGUAUGCAAUAAGUUUCUCAAGAUUUUAACAAUAAUACCUUGUUUAUAUACACUUCUAAAUAAGAUCCACAGAUCAAACAAAAUUUGACUGAAGUGUCUUUCUACAAUAUGUAGCGAUGGAGGAGUUUGAAUAAUAUAUAAAAAUGGUGCAAAAAAACUUUUCCUUCAACCUCCUUUUACAAUGGAUGAAACCGAAACUUAUUUUAUUAUAUACUUUGAUUACUCUUCAUAAAACAAGAAUUAAACAUGACAGUUUUGACUUUAAAUUAAUAUUUUUCUUAGAUAAAAAAACUAGUCGGGUUACUAAAAAAAUUGACCAGAUUUUGAUCAUAAAUUGGACAUACUAAUGGUCUGGCAAAAAAUAGCUCUUCAUGGGCCAAAAAAAUUAUAAACCCAAACCUAAGCCCAGAGAAAAAGGUGAGAAGGAAAAAAAAUCUUUUAUAACCCAAAAUAUUAUUCUACAAUAAACUCAAGCCCAAACUAAGCUCGAGUCGAGCAAUGCAUGUGUGACUUUGUUCAUGAUCUGGAUAUACUAAUAAACUAACAACAAAAUAAUUCUUCAUGAAUCAAAGAAUUAUAAACCCAAGUCCAAGCCUAAAAAAUGUUUAGUAACAAAAAAACAAUCUUUGGUAGCCCAAACAAAUCAUUUUACACUAAACUAAAAUCCGAACUCAGGCUCGAGCUAGGCAGCAAGCAUGCGAUUCAAAACCCAAAACCCACUUUGCUUAGGUAUAUAUUCUUUUGUUUUAAUAGUUUAGGUACUUCUUGUAUUCAAUUUUAACUAUUCACAUUCCCAUUAAAUAACUUAAAAGAAAAACUUGUUUCUUUCUUACCUUGGGAUAGAGUUUUAGAGGGCUUUUGAGUUUCUCAAAAAUAUAUAAACGAAAGGUUAUUUGAGAACACUUUCUUGUUCAUUCACAAAUUAUUUUAAUCAUGCUAAAAAAAAUUUUAACCCUAAAAGUGUCUGGACUUCAUUUUUAAUAUGACCUUAAAUAUGCUGAUUAAUCAUGUACUUAAAUAAUUUUUCCAACAACUGCUUAUAAUUUAUUACCAAACAAUUGAAUGUGUUUAAUCUUAUAAUGCAACGUAGCACAACACAAUAGCUAUAGUGGAGGUCAAACACAUUCCAAGUUUAUCAAACCAAAUUCAAGAACAUGUUUGGGCACUUUCUCAUUGAGCAUUUACCAGUGUUAAUUAAAAAAUAAAUAAAAGCUGACGAAAAGAAAUUAAAAGUUAAGAUUGAUUUGGAACAUCUCAAUAAAUAUCUUAAAAUCACCCGCUAGAACCCUAAGAAAAUAAUAGUUUUUUUUAAUUAGAAACAAAAAGGGGCCUUGACAACAAAUUAAUUGUAACUCUUAAAUCUAAUUAAUUAAUUAAUUAAUUUCAACCAAGAUCUGUUUUUUUUUUAACAUAGUUUUUGAAAAUGUUUUAACCAAAAUGCAGCAAGCAAAACGGAAGCAAUUGCCAUAAUUAGCAUAAAAUAACCACUACCAAACAUAGUAGAGAGGCAUCACGGGACAUGCCCUCUCAUUACAACUCGAAGCAACGAGUGUUUUUUUAAUAAGAAUUAGGAACAUGAUGAAGUGAAGGGGAUUUUUAGCCUGCGUUGACCCUUCAAAAUCCAUUAUAAAGAAGACAACACAAUCUUCUUCUUCUUCUAAUUAUGAAAAACCUAACGGCACGUUUGUAUUGUUCUUUGAAGAUUGUUAUUUUGAAGAACAUGCAAGAUGGAAAUCUCUUUUAGGGAGAAAGAUGAAAUAAUUAAAUGACUUGCGUUUUGAAAGAGUUAAUCUUGAGUGGACUAAGGGUCUGUUUGUAAAUGUAGUUGCGGUUAUUUUUUAAAGUGCUUUUUAUUUAGAAAUAUAUUAAAAUAAUGUUUUUUUUAUUUUUUUGAAAUUAUUUUUGAAAUCAACGCAUCAAAAUGAUCUAAAAAAUAAAAAAAUAUUAAUUUAAAGAAAAAAAUAAAAUAAAUUUAAAUUUUUUCAAAAACAUUUUUGAAACACAAAAACAAAUAUAAUCUAAGUUGUUGAUUGAUUUAAUUUUUUUUUAAUGAAAUUAAUUUUUUUAAAACUCAAAUCAAUCUAAAUCUUAAUAGAAAACAUUCAAAUUAAAUAAAUGGUUGAUAGGAGUUUUAUAAUUAAAAUAUAAUUAAUAGGAGAAAAAGGGUAGGGCAGCGUAUUAUCUAGGGGUGAUCAUUUUUUAUUCGGUUCAGUUUUUAUAAAAAAAAGUAACCAAACCGAAAUUUUUUUUAAAAAAAAACCGAAACCGGUUCAAACCGGCCGGUUUUGGUUCGGUUUGGUUUUUUAGGACAAAAACCGGUUCAAACCGGUUUGGCUCGGUUUUUUCGGUUUUGGCUCGGUUUUUUUCCGGUUUGGGUUCUGUUCGGUUUUAGGCUUAUAAAUCGAAACUGAACCGAACCGGUCGGUUUUUUCAAAAUUUUAAUCGGUUUUUUUAUACGGUUCAGUUUUUAUAAUUUUUUUUAUUUUCUCAGUUUAAUCGAUUUUUUUACUCACUCCUAGUAUUAUCUGUAUCCGUAAAAUAGAGAAAAGGAAUAAAAAAUGCUAACACCUCCUUCAUUCGUCUAACAGGCUACAGCUGUUUCAUGUUUCAACUCUCUAAUCAACUCCUCCCGUUUAAUUUCAUCAUUUCAGAAGGGACAGCUGGACAAAAGACAUGCUCCAUUCUCAAAGGCUAAAGCCCUUUUUAUUUCUUCUUUCAAAUCUUUCUAGAAAUACAUUUUGAAAAUCGAUCGGGAAAAAAAUAAUAAUUUCAAUUAAUAUAUAAAAAAAUACUCUUAGUUGUUGAAUUUAAAAAAAAUAAAUAAAUCUCGUAGUUUGUGGAGACGGUCUGGCUUGCUUUGCUUGUGACCUGUGAGGUGUGACAGACACCGACCGUAAACGUGGAGAGAGGAGAAUCCUUACCAGUUUUAUUCUCUCUUUUCAGGGCAAACGAGGAGGUGUGGUGUGUGUUUGGUCAAUGGCUAAUAUUCUUCUCUUUUCAUGAUUCGUAGAUAUCGUUGAAGAUUGCAAUGGGUUGCACUUGCAGCGGAGAUUCUUCUCAUGUGAUAAGACAUGAUAGUUAUUCCAUCACUUCAGAUUGCCAAAUCCUUUCGUUUCACUGAAAGAGAAGCAUCAUCUUCUCGAGUCUGAAACUCAUUUCACUUGAGAACGAAACUGGUCUUCUCAAGACUGAAUUGUCACUUCUCAAGAAAAGAUUCACCAAUGGGACAGAUGGAUGCAUUAAAAUUUGUUGAAAAUGAAUAAGAAUCCAACGAAAGGGAGAAAGAGAGUGAGGAUAGUUCACUUCUUCCAAAUCAAAACACCUUUUUCUCUCAAGCACCCGUUGAAAUCUUAAGCUUCAAAGAGGGGGGGGAAAACAGAAAGCGAAGAACUAUUGAAGCGCAUAUGCUAAAUGCAUUUUCUGUAUUUCAUGAAAGCUGGCUGUAUCUACAAUGAGAGGAAAAUACAACUAGCAAAAUACAAGAUGGAUCAUUUUCAGCAAUGUCUACGGGAUUGUAAUUGAAAAGAAAAAUCAAGUACAGCCCCCUACAAAGACCAUCAACCAACCAUAAGGAAACCUACAAGGAGUGUGGAAGGCAUAUCCUAACAUACCUUAGAACUCCUACAAUAUCCAGGAAGGUCCGGUGACCCAACCGUGUACUCAGUGUUUUUGGUGCGUUCUCCAAGGGCUGCCCACCUCUCACAACUUUCAUUCUGAUCAGUGCAAUUCCCACCAGCUUCCACGUUCUUGUCAAAUGAGUCUACAUGAAUCCACUUUGUGGCAGACCAUUUCUCACCUUCAAUCACAGGGCACCCUAUUUAUAAGUUUACAAUAACUAAACAAAAGCUCUUAAUACACGCCCUCUCUUUCUUUCUAGUGUUUCUCUCUAAUCUCUCCACACAUAAUAGCAUAAACUUAGCUGCCUAUUUAUACACAAAUUGAAAGUAAAAAAAAAUCAAACUUAAAGUGUGAAGGCGGCUGACGGCACAUAGCAGGUGGCUGGCUGCAAGUGGUGUUUGAGGCGAUUAACAGCUGGUGGUUGUAAGUGGUGGUUGGUGGUUGCAUUCCUUGACCUUCUAGAUUGAGUUUACCACAACAAAUUCCCCAUUUAAACUCAAUCGAGGGAUGUCAUGCCAAGCAUGAACUUCAAUCUGAUAAAUAUUUCUCCCUUCAAUGGCUUUGCAAAAAUAUCUGCAACUUGAUCAUUUGUCUUGCAUGAUAUGAGUUCAACUUCUUUGUUCUUCACAUGCUCUCGGAUAAAGUGAUGACGUGUAUCAAUGUGUUUACUUCUUUCAUGAUACAUUAGGUUCUUUGCUAAUGCAAUCGCUAAUCGAUUAUCAAUAUAAAUCUCUGUAGGAUUUUCUUGAGGAAAUCUCAAAUGCUUCAGCAUAUUCCUUAACCAUAUUAAAUGGCAUACAGCUGAGUUGGCAGCAACAUACUCAGCUGAGUUGGCAACAACAUACUCA